This 83132-nucleotide long non-coding RNA is filed under the name Gossypium barbadense (sea-island cotton). RNAcentral's name for it is "long non-coding RNA (GBAR_LNC013224)". The stretch from base 69471 to 69557 matches the Rfam family "MIR7486 microRNA precursor family". Lineage: Eukaryota; Viridiplantae; Streptophyta; Magnoliopsida; Malvales; Malvaceae. The record is from RNAcentral.
UAGAAUAGGUUUUAUUUGUUUAUUCUCAUUUAUUUAUUUUGAUAAAUCAACAUAAACAACAACCCAAAUGUUGAUUUACAACCUUAACUUUAAGCAAUUAAACGAUAAGUCGGCUUUACAAGUAAAUGAUUAGCCCUCGGCAACGAAAGGCCGAACUUCUCGGUCAUGUCGAGUUCAAUAGGCAACAUCCCAUCAGGCAACUCCCAAUCAAAGCAAUGGGCUAAUUGAGCUAAAAUAAGACGCAUGCUGAUUAGAGCUAACUGCAUUCCGGGACAUCCUCUACGACCGGUUCCGAACGGAAUGAGUUCGAAAUCAUGCCCUCGAAGGUCUAUCUUCCUAUCCUUGAAUCUUUCUGGAAAGAACUCUUCGGCAUUGCUCGACCAUAUCUUGGGGUUUCGCCCCAUGGACCAAGUGUUCACCAAAAGCCGCGACUUCUUAGGUAUGAAAUACCCAUUAACGGUGACAUCUUCGGUCGACUCGUGCGGGACUAACAACGGUGCCGCCGGAUGCAACCUGAAACUCUCUUUGAUGACCAUAUCCAAAUAGGCAAGUUUCGGUAGGUCCGACUCUUCUACCAUUCUAUUCCUUCCGACAACACUUUCUAGCUCUUUCUGGAGAGCAACCAUGACUCGAGGAUGCUUUAGAAGUUCUGUAAAUGUCCACUCAAUGGCCGUGGAUGUAGUGUCGAAGGAAGCUGCCACCAUGUCCACCAUUAUAGCCUUGAUGUUUUCUCUACCAAUGAUGUAGGGUUGAUCUUUAUCGUUAGGGUUUAUGGGUGUAUCCAACAACGAAACCAUCACUUGAAAGAAACUUCUAUAAGGUUUUUGGUCAUCCAUGUUAAUCCCUUGUUGGUAUUCAUCUAUCAUUUUCUCAAAAAAUUCGUGAAGGCCACUACUCACCUUCUUAAGCCUUCUUGUAUAUCCCUGCAGCGUAAAGAUAGAUAUGAUAGAAUCAGUUUUAUAUUAAUUGUAUUUUUCAUUAUAAUUAUUCUUUGUGAAAAAACCAACGAGUCAUUCAACCAAAUAUUAAGACUUCCGAGUUUCACUCUGCAUCUUAUAAGAUUACUAUAACACAAUUUAUUAUGCUUUAAAAUUGGUAUUACUAUUAGUACGAAAAAAUAAAUAAAUUAUGAAAAAGAAAAAUAGUACAUAAAAAAACAGGAUAUAAGGAGGAAAAAAAAAACGUUACCUGAAGAUCAAGUGGAGCAAGGAAAGGCACAUAAUCCGAGAGAUUGAAAACCCCAGAUAAGUGCAGGGCCUCAUCAACCAGCGGCUUAAAAUCGAUUUUAUCAUACAUGGACCGCCCGAAUAACACUUUCGACAUCAUUUCUUCAAGAACCUUAGCCACCGCCUGGCUAAGGUUUAUUGUUUCACCCGCCGCCGCUACCUUCCUCACUGAUUCAACCAAUAACCCCACCUCCGCCUUCCUUAUCGGGGCAAAACAUUCAACUUUGGAAGCACUGAGGAAAUGCAAAAUACACCAUUUCCGUACAGUUCGCCAGUAAGAACCGUACUGGGUAAAAGCCACGGCCUUGCCACCAUAUGCGAAGUAUUUCGCGGAUUGGACUUUAGGCCUGGAAGCAAAAACGACGUCAUGGACCUUGAGGAACAGUUCAGCGGCUUCGGGUGAUGAUACCACGAUGGUUGGUACUUUGCCUAGCAUUAUCGACAUGAUGGGUCCAUAUUUUUUGGCGAGAUAGUGAAGACUUUGGUGUGGGAGGUUCCCUAGCAUGUGGAUGUUACCUAUGAUGGGAAGAGGGGCAGGACCGGGUGGAAGUUUCCGGCCAUUUUUGUUGCGGUUUGGUGAGCUGAAGAAGUAGAUAAAGGAACAGAGAGUUCCAAGGAGGACAAAGAGUAAGGUUAAUGUUGAAGAAGACAUUUGGGAGGGAAGCCAAUCACAAUAGCUGAUAGCCAUUGGGGAUUGAUUGAUUGAUUGAGUACUUGUAGAUGGAAGCAACCGAUGGCAGCUGCAAGUCGGGAGAAUUCGCCAAAUAUGUCGAUUUUAACAAAAACUACGGAGUUCGACUUUUUUUUUUUUUUUAAAUGUAAGGAAAUAAGUUGAUUUUGGCUCAUACAUGGGUAAAAGCUUUGCGGGCUUAAUUUGCCAGUUGAAUUACUUAGCGUGGUAAGAAAAUAUUAUUAUAAUUUUGAUUUUAAUUAAUAUUAUUUUUAAGUUUUUAAUGUUAUUAUAUUUUUUUUAUUUUUUAUGUUUAUAUAAUCAAGAAGAUCAAAUUAUUGAAAUUUAUAUACACACAAUUUAAGUGCAAGAGCACCACGUGUUAUUGAACAAUGCUUGAAAGAGGUGAGAUUCUUACACGUGUCUCAUAUGCUCAACGAGACUAAAUUGGAGUCUGCACUUGUCAGUGCUUUGCUGGAGAGAUGGAGAUCCGAAACACAUACAUUCCAUCUAUCAUGCAGUGAGUGUACGAUUACAUUUAAGGAUGUAUCAUUACAACUCGGUCUGCCAAUUGAUGAGGCUGUCAUUACAGGAGUGGUGCACAUUGGGGAUUGGAGGCCAAUUUGCCACCAGCUAUUAGGCAAGGUGUCAAACAAGUUUAGUGGUAAUCAAAUAUAUAUGAAAUGGUUAGAAGAUAAUUUCUCACAUCACAAAACUCUUCUAGUGCAGUUGAAAGACAACAAUUAACUCGGGCAUUAAUUUAUACCUUCUAAUGCCAUAUAAAUCUCAAAAUUUGAUACAUUUAAGGGGACUCUUAUAACUAAUCGACCUAAAAGAAACUGGGCAACUCAGUUGGAGAUCAAUUGUCUUGGUUACAUUGUAUCGAAAGUUGUGUUGGACAAUAGAAGCACAAAAAUUAAAAUCGUUGGUUGUAUAUUCCUUCAAUCAUGGGUAUAGUAUCGUUUACCAUUUUUACAUCCCGAGGAAACUCCCAUUAUCAAUUAUUACUCGUAAUAAGGUAACAUUCAUUUAAUAAUAUAGUUAUCAUAUUAUCUUUUUUCAUUAUUAUAUUUUUGGAAUAACAUAUUAUUUGAACAGAUAGAAAAAUAACGCGAGUCCUGUGGGUAUACCAAAUAAACUUGAAGAUAUUUGGUUAUUGUUAAAUCAAUGGUUAAUAGUCGAGGUCAGUUUUUGAAUUUUUUUUAAUUACAUAAUAAUUAUUUAAGGAUUUGAAAUUUAAUAUUAGGUGUGUAUGAAAUUUAUAAUUUCAUAUUAUAAUUUAAAUGGAUGUCAUACUCUGAUCCGAGAAUUGAAGAAUGCAUCCCGUCUAAAUUUUUGACGAAUCAUAAUAUCUUACAUGUCAAAGUGUCAUUAAUAGUUUUUGCAUUGUCUAUUUUUAAUAAAUAUAUUUGAGGUAAAGUUUUUUUUUUAUAUAUUCUAUUUGAACUUUUUUAUAUUUAAAAAAAAUAUACAUACUUUUCAUAUAUAUUUUUUAAGAACUAGGACCAAAUUAAUAGAAUAUAUAAACAUUGAUGGUUUAAUUUGUUACUAUAUCAAUUAAAAUUAUGUACAAUUGAUGGAAAAUAUUAUUUUUGAUGAUUAAUUGUCCUUAGUUGCUCACUUUUAAAAUGAACAAUGAUUAAAUAGCUUUGUUGUUUUCAGUAGGACCAAUUUGCUUAAUAUCAAAAUUGAGAGAAACUAAAAAAAAUUUACCUAAAUCUGCUCGUCUAUAUGGGAAGGCUUUCCUUCUUUUAGCUACAAUUGUAUUUAUUAAUUCAUAGAUUUGUCCGGAUAACAAAAAAGUGAUAAUCAAUUAUAAUGAGACAAUGGCUAUUAUUUGCAGAGACCACUGGAUCAAUCACAAAUGCCGACACCUAAAAUCAUAUAGUUAUUUUGGAUAAAUCUAACGUGAUGUAAAGUAUAUAUAUUUAUAAAAAAUUAUAAAUUAUAAUAUCGUAUAAUAAAAUAAUAUAUGAAUUUUAAUUGUAUUGGGUAACAUGUAUUUGUUUUCAACAUACCAUAAUUCUGGGAAGGAAAAUGUGGAUACAGGUAUAAGUUGGACAAGAAGUUAUAAGUGGUUGAACACGGUAUGAUUGCAUGAUGUGAGGGUGACAACUAACUAGUGGACAUGUCCAAGUAGAGGAUGGAUUAAACUUAAUACAGAUAGAGUUGUAUCCAGAAAUAACUCAUUUGCGGGCAUUGGGGGAGUGUUUAGAGGUGCCAACAGCAAGUGGUUAGGUGGUUUGUCGAUGAAGUUAGGAAAGGAUUCAAUUUUCAAGAUUGAGGCGAGAGCCUUACUUAAAGGCCUACUUAUAUCAUGGAGGAAAGGUUAUCGACAAUUGGAAGUGGCCAGACACGCAAAUAGACCCUUCCACAAAAACACGCGGAUCCUGAGGUUGGAGUGGGUCAGGUCGCGGGUUGGCCCCCCAAAACGACGCCGUUUUGGGCGUCUAGGGGCCUAAUGAAACGACGCCGUUUUGAUAACUCCAUUUAAGCCCAAAUUUUUUUUAAAACUUCAUUCCAGUCUUUGUUUUUUAAUAAACUCAAAAAAAAAACCUCUCAACUCUCUCUCAACUCCCCAAAAUUCGGUCAGCUUAGGUUGCCGGACCACCGUGGCGGCCGCCGGUCACCGGCGACGGCGCCGCCGCCCACAAUGGCCAAAAAACCAAAAAAGCCUAUUUUUUGGGGUUUUUUUGACUCCCCGACUUCGAAUAACGCCGAUUUUCAUCGGAAUUGGCACCUCUCUCACCAAAGGUACGUUUUCAAUCCUUUUCUUUUUAUUUAUUUUUUGUUUUUUCCUUCUAAAAAAUAAUAAGAACGAAAGAAAAAGAAGAAAAAAUAAGGAAAAAAAUCCCACUACCUUCGAAAAUCUAUUGAUUUUUUCUAUUCUCUUUCAUUCAUUCGUUCUUAUUAUUUUUUUUAGAAGGAAAAAACAAAAAAUAAAUAAAAAGAAAAUGAUAGAAAACGUACCUUUGGUGAGAGAGGUGCCGAUUCCGAUGAAAAUCGGCGUUAUUCAAAGUCGGGAAGUCGAAAAACCCAAAAAAUGGGUUUUUUCAAUUUUUCGGCCACCGUGGGCUGCAGCGACGGCGCUGGGGACCGGCGGCCGCCACGGUAGUCCGGCGACCUAAGCUGACCGAAUUAUGGGGAGUUGAGAGGAUUUUUUUUGAGUUUUUUUAAAAAACAAAGGCUGAAAUGAAGUUUUUUUUAAAAAUUGGGCUUAAAUGGAGUUAUCAAAACGACAUCAUUUCAUUAGGCCCCCAAACGCCCAAAACGGCGUCGUUUUGGGGGGCCAACCCAUCACCAAACCCGCUCCAACCUCAGGAUCCGCGUGUUUUUGUGGAAGGGUCUAUUUGCGCGUCUGGCCCUUCCGCCUUUUUUUAUUUACAAUUAAGUUUUUUUAUUUUUAUAAUUUUUCCCUAUAAUUUAUCUCGGCUUCCAUUUUAGUCCCUAAUUGAACUUGUUGGGCGGGGAUUAUUGCUCAUUUGGUCCAUCCUUGUUAUUCGCGCAUUCAACUUGGUCCUUUUCCUCUUUAUUUAUUUCUAAUUUUCCCCAAAUUUAUGUUUUAAGUUCGAUUUGGCCCUUUUUUGUUAUUUUGCUAUUUUACUAUUAAAUUAAUUAAUUUAAUAUUAUUAUCACUAUUAUUAUUUUUCUUUUUCUUUUUUACCUAAAUAUUUCAAAUACAUUUAUUUUAUUUUUAUCCCAUAUUUAUUUAUAUUCUAUUUUAUAAUUUUAAAACUUUAGAUCAUUAUUAUUAUUACUAUUAAUCAUCAUUAAUUUUAAUAUUUUUUUAAAAAAAAUUGUUUAUACAAUAUUUAUUUAUUUAUUUAAUAUUAGGUCUUUAACUUCAAAUUUAGUUUAUUAUUUCAUCAUUUGUCUUUUUAUUUUUAUUUAUUAUUAUCAUUUUGGCUUGUUUAUCGUAUUUUAUUUUCAUUCUUUAUAUUGGCGUUCACAUUCUACUAUGCAUAUCAACACUGUAAUUCAUUUCAUAUUUCACUACCAAUUCGUGAUAUUUCAAUCCUUCUCCGAUAUACAAACUUCAUUUUUAAUAAUACGCAAUAUUUCGUAUUUUGGAAUUCGAAAAGGUUGUUCCCUAACUUACGGGAUUUUGGUUUUUUCCGAUGAAUCCGAAUAUACGAAUCAUUUUUCAAAAACACAUUUUUUAAAUUAUCUCAGGAAUUAAUAAGACUGUGUUCUAACUUAUGGAAUAUGGUCUUUUCUAAAACCUAAAUAAUAAAAUAUCUUUCAAAUAAGUAAAUUUUUUCGACAUUUAUUCUCGUAUCGGGAAUUUAAGACAUUGUGUCCUAACUUACUGGACGUAAUUCUCUUUCUCGAUUAAAAGUGAAAUGUGCCCCCUUUUUUUGAAAUUUUUUAAUAUUUUAACAAAAGAUCGUAUUUUAAAUUCUUUUUGAGUUUUCAACUUUCGACAUUAAGACACUAAUUAAUCAACUAGGUACUAAUUUUUGGGCGUUACAAGGGUGCUAAUCAUUCAUCGUACGUAACCAACUCCCGAACCCAUCUUUCUGAAUUCCGUGGACCAAAAUUGUUGUUUUAAUAAAUCAAAUUUGUAAGAGCCCAUUUUUGCCCGGGCCCAAAAUAGAGACCCAAAAUCCAAAAUAAAACAGUCCAUUACAGUAGUGGCCCAAACCCAAAAUAAAAAUAAAACCCAAAAUAUAUAUAUAAUAGUCCAAAAUUAUAGUCUAAUGGGCCCGAACAGCCCAAACCAAAAAUCUAGGCCCGAUUGACCCACCCCUCAAACAUUUCAAAAAAAAACCCUAGCAGCCCCUACUGCCCAUGUGCGCUGCUCAGCCUCCUCGCACGCCCCCUGGCCAUCGUUGUUGCUUGCCUAUCGCCUCAUCCGCAUGCUCUGACACCUCUCUGCCAUCACCUGCAAAAGCAGACAACAAGCAAACAAACAAAUCACAAGCAAACAAAAUAGAGGAAAAUAGUUUUGUAUUUCGGCUAUAAAGCCAAAAUCAGAUGCCUGUAUUUUUUUUCCUUUUUUUACACACAUCAGUUAAUCAAAAACAGAACAAAGAUUUGAAAAGGUUGCAAAAUCUUAUCGUUUUUUAUUUCGUUUCUCUGUUUCCUUUUUUUAUUUUAUUUAUCCAUUCGUUCAUUUCUUUUACAAAUCAGUUUCAACAAAUAAUAGGGAAUAGAAAAAGGAAAAAGGAAGGAAAACUUGCCUGAAAAGCCCAUCGGUCGCGUCGUCGGAGGUCUCACCGUCGCCGAAAUCAGCCUUAAAAGGUGGGUUUGGGGGGUCUUUUCUCUCGGCCUUCGGGCUAAAGAAGUUUGGCCUUCGAAGGGAUUUGAAACAGAGGCAUGAAAAUCGCCCUUUGCGCAACGCCGGCCACGGCGGCGCUGCGGCGGUGGCCAUGGCCGAAACUCUAUGGCCGGAUGUGGGGGGAGAGUAUUUGAGAGAGUGCUGCAUUUUUUUUCCUUUGGAAAUGAAAGAGAAAGAAUUUUUUUUAAAAAAAAUGGAUUAUAUAAGUGCACGAAAUGACGUCGUUUUGCGCCAACGCACAUCGUCGUUGAAAAGACGCCGUUUGGCCUAGGGACCCGAAGACCCGACCCGCAUUCAUGGGAUCCACGUGUUUUCUGAUGUGAGGGGAUAUUUGUGCAAUAGGCCCCUCCUGCUUUGCGGCGUGUUCAAUGCGAUCCUUUUUAUUUUUAUUUUUGAUUUUGGCCACAAAGUUUGCUUCCGAUUCAAUCUGGUCCUUCAACCAUGUGCAGAUGCUACCCCCUAGAGCGACACCGUUUAAAGGACGAGGAAUAUUUCCGUUUUGGUCCUCAGCCUUCGCGCACCUUUGAUUUUGGUCCUAUUCGUUUAUUUUAUUACAGUUUUUACUUUAAAUUCUAUUUUUGUCCCAAUUUAAUCCCUAAUAUGUUUUAUUUUAACCUUAAUCGUUUUUCUUCAUAUUAUCAUUUUUAACAAUUUUCAUUUUUUAUAUAUCUUUUUUAUUUAUUCAUUUUUUAAUUUUAUAAACAUUAUUUAUAAUAAACCGUACUAUAUCAUUUUAGAUAUUAUGUGUUUUAAAUUAUUCCAUAUAUUAUUUAUGUUGAAUUGCUAUAUAUGUUAUGUUAUCUUAAACGUUUCAUAGAUGUGUAUUAUUUCGUUUACUCAUAUUUCCAUGCUAUGGUAAUCCAUUCGUAUAUCAUGUUGUUCGAAAAUCAUUUCACCAUAUUAUAAAUUGUCACCCCCAUCAACGCAACCCUUUUGUUCACGCAUUAUUUCAAACAUUACAUUUUUACCCAAACAUGCAAAAAUGAAAAUUUCAAAUAAGGCAAUAUUUUGUGUAUUGGCGAUUCUAGAAAAUUGUACCCUAACUUACGGGGUUUCGAUUUUCCUCGAUAAAUCUAAAUACAUGAAUCUUUUCAAACAAAAGUUUUUAAAUGUUCUCGAUAAUUAAAGAUCGUGUUUUAACUUACGGAAUAUGAUCUUUUCUAAAAUCGAGAUAAUUGAAUGUCUUUCAAAUAAGUAAAUUUUUCGGCAUGUAUUCUUGUAUCAGGAAUUCGAUACGUUGUGUCCUAACGCAUUGGAUAUGACAUGUUGUUUUCUCGAUAUGAGGAUUUUUCUAAAAAUAAUAAAGGCAAUAUUUUGCAUUUGGAAAUUCGAGAAAGCGUGCCCUAACGUGCUGGGUUUCGAUUUCUCGUUUGACCAAAUAGCCAAAUAUCCUCUUAAAACUUCAAAGUAUGGGUUUUUGAAACCAUAUGGUGAUCUUGGUUUCGAUGGUUUAAAGUAUUAUGUCCUAACGUGCUGGAUGUGAUAUUCCUUCAGAACAAGAGAAUCUUAAAUUUCAAUCCAUGUUAUUCGAGUUUUUUUUAAGGAUCGUAUUUUUAAAACUCUUCAAAGUUUUCAACCUUUGGCACUAAGACACUAAUUAAUCAACUAGGUACCAAUUUUGGGGGCAUCAAUGGUGCUAAUCCUUUCUCGUGUGUAACCGACUCCCGAACCCGUUUUCUGAUUUUCGUGGACCAAAAUCGAUGUUUUGAUAAAACCAAAUUGUUUAUUAAAAUAACCAUUUUUUGAGGUGGUCCGAUCACACUACAUCAAAAAAUAUUGGUGGCGACUUUCAUUUUCGUCGACCUCGUUUUAUCAAAAAAUGGUGUCAACAGCUUGGCGACUCCACUGGGAAACUUAAAAAGAGAGUCAAGCCACGUGUUGAUUACUUUUUGUCUUUUUAUCAAAAAUUAAAAACUUGGUUUAAGUGUACGAUCCUUUCAUUGCAUUACAUUCGUCUUUAUUUCGGUAUUUAUCAUUGUGGUUUAUAACUACUGUGUUAAUUCAAGUUUGGAUAUAUUUCUGCGCAUUACAUUGCAUGAUCGGUAGAUCUUACCCUUCUAAGUGGGAGUGAGAAACUACGCCUUCGUGAGGUUUUCACCUCCGCAUGGGAUAGUGAAUCGCUUUCGGGAUACAUCCGUACCUAUGUCUUCGUGAGGUUUUCAUCUCCGCAUGGCCAUAGGGAAAUGUAUUCUCCUGAACUAAACUCUAUCCAUAUGAGCCUAUAAUGGGUGAGGAUCGAGGAAUCUGCCUGUUCGGGUACCUUUACUUUAGAACCAAACCGUAUAUAGUGAGCCCUAAGAACCUAUCCUAGGUAGAACCAUGCCAAAACCUUAGUGGUCACCCGAUUAGGUGCUCUAUUUGUUUCUUUCUUACUUACUUUUGCUUUGUAAUAACCCGUUUUGUUUUGUUUCGGUUAUGAUUACAUUGCAUUUUUCAUUAAAUAGAAAAGAGGUGUUGAUUCACGUUCAAGUAUCUAAAUAGAGAGCUUGUCAUAAGAAAAUGAGUUUCUUGAUAAAAUGAAAGACAAUGCGGUCGUCCGAAUAUGGUCCGAGAAAACGUAACGAGGGAAGGGUGAUAGUCUGGUGAAUGAGUACACGACUUGCCUCGUUUCCCGAAGACUCAAGCUGACGAAGACUAUUUAAGAGCCGUUAGCGUCAACUUUCUUAAAGAAGCCAAUGAGCAUCACGAGAAUGAGUGAACAAUGAGUCGUAGCUCAGAUCAAGUAAAAAGGAGAUAGAGGAGGUACCCUUUUAAAGAGUUUUCGAGAUUCAAUCUUAACAUAUGGUUUGAAGAAAGGGGUCGAUGUCUUCGUCUAGAAAAUUAGGGCAAGGCCGUAUAUGUAAAUUUUCGUUUUAUGUAAAGAGAUUUAUUUUCUAGUAAAGUUGUUCUAAUAGAAUUGAAUUAGAAUCAACGUCUCUUUUUGCAUUCAUGCAUCAACAUUACAUUUCAUUGCAAUAAAUAAAUUUCCUAAAAUCCAAAAGUGCAUAGAGUUCAGAACUCUAGUAUAGAGCCAUAUGGAUGAUAAAGAAUUGGAUUUCUUUGAAUAUAUCGAUGGUUCGAAAGGUAAAGAUGUUUGUGCCUUUGAAGAAGAAACUAAAAAACUAUCAGGAAUUUGUUUCUACAUCCCUAGAGGUGUUCUAAACAACUGGACUGUGGAGUAAAUUCUUGUAGUUUUUAGGACCAUUUUAGAGUAAUAUUCAGAACACUCUUAUUGCUCUAAGCCUAGGAGCAAUAGAAAAUCUUUUUGUGAAAAAGGCACAUGUCCACUAUUUUUUAUUUCAACGAAAUGCAUCUUUGUGUCCUGUUUUGGCAAACAUUCUUUUGUUUUUUCCAUUUUAUUCAUACUCAUACCACACAAAUAAUUCCCCUUUGAUUCAUUUGUUCUUUGAGUCUUCUUUCGUUCCUUUAAUAGGUCUCUAGAUAUCAAUGAUAUGAGUGACACUGCUAUUGACUCAGAACCUUCUUUUGAGCAAGAUAUGUAUCCAGAGGAACCUCAGGACUUUGAAGAUGACCGAGACUAUAGCUUAUCUCUUGAUUGCUAAGGAUGAGAGAACAAGUCGAGAAACAAAUCCUACUUUACAAAGAAUCAGUAAAAAUUGUGAGCUUAGAAGAAGAGAAAGAGGUGAAGAUCGGAGCAUGUAUCACCGCAGAGACAAAGCAAGACGUCAUGUAUUCGUUUGAUCGUAUCAAGAUAUGACUGAGCUACUAAGACUUGUAGACACUGUUGAGGCUAAAAAAAAGUGUUUGAGGAACACAUGCUAAUGGUUUUGCAAUGGCCAAGCAACUUAUGAGAUACUAUUGGUCCACCAUGGAAGGAGAUUGCAUCAGUUAUACCAAGCAAUGCAUAAGUGCCAAAUUUAUAGAGAAAAGAUUCAUGUGCCUCAUUCAUCUCUUCUUGUUAUAACUUUUCGAUGGGCUUUCUCUAUGAGGGCCAUGAUGUCAUUGGGCUGACCUCGCCAAAAGCUUUUAGCAGUCAUCGAUUUAUCUUUGUGGUCGUCGAUUACUUAAUCAAGUGGGUAGAGGUUGUUUCAUAUGCCAAUAUCACAAAGUUAACAGUCAUCAAAUUUUUGAAAAAAGAAAUCAUAUGUCGGUAUGAAAUGCCAAAAAAGGAUCAUAUCUGACAAUGCACUGAAUUUGAACAACGGCAUAGUAUCAAAAGUUUGUAUUCUGUUCAAGAUUAAAUGAGUUAUCGCCCCAAAGUAAACGAUGCAGUGGAGGCAAAAAAAAGAAAAGAAAAAAUCCCUUUACUGGGGCAACUCAUUUCUUAUUGGUAUAUGAAACAGAGGUAGUUUUACCCAUUGAAGUUGAUAUUCCUUCCCUUCGAGUCUUGUUAGAGCUGAAGUUGGAUGAAGCUGAAUAGAUCCAAUCCCGAUAUAAUCAGAUAAAUUUGAUUGAUAAGAAAAGGUUGACAGCUAUCUGUCAUGGUAAAACGUACCAAAAGCGAAUGAUACGAGCUCACCAAAUAAGGUUCGCCCUAGAGAAUUCCAUGAGGGGGACCUGAUAUCGAAGAAGAUCCUUCCCAUACAAAAUAACUUCUAAAGAAAGUGGAUGCCAAACUAGAAAGGACCUUAUGUGGAAGGUCUUAUCUGAAAAAGCGUCGAUAUUGACCAAGAUGGACGGCAAGAACCUGCCUAGUCCUGUGAAUUCUGAUUCAAGCAAUAAAUACUUCACUUGAAAAAGAAACGAAAAAAAUAAAAGAAAAAAAAAUAAAAAUAAAAAUAAAAAAUAGAGGCCAAGGCAAAAACCCGCAAAGGGCGCUUGAGAUCAAAGGGGUUUUGAAUUGAAAGCCCAGAAAAGGGCAAUUCAAAAUUUUUAUCAAAGGUGGGGCAUGUGGUAAUCUUGUCAUCUCUGAAUUAGCAAGAAGAGGAGAUGCUACAUCUUGGGGCAUUAACAAAGUCUUCUAGGACCUCUAAACACAUAUCAAGUUCAAAAGGGUCCUCAAGAAGUUUGUGCAGAGAAGCUCAUGCUGCGAUAUCUAGGGCACCUGUUUGCAUCUCAAUUUGUCUAAAGCAAACACAACAGCUAAUAAUUUUUUCUCAGUGGUUGUGUAAUUGCUUUGGGCAUCAUCCAAAGUCUUCGAAGCAUAAUAGAUAACAUGAGGCUCUUUCCCUAUUCUUUGGCCAAGAAUAGCUCCCACACUUUGGUCACUUGCAUCACACUUGAUUUCGAAUGAGAAGUUCUAAUUUGGUGGUUGCACUAUGGGAGCGGAAACCAAUUUCAGCAAGUCAAAUGCGUCUUUACAAGUUUGGUCAAAUUCAAAUUCUUUAUCCUUUUGUAUUAGAUUGCAAAUCGGUUGCACGAUCUUCGAAAAGUCUUUUAUGAAUCGUCUAUAAAAUCCUGCAUGGCCAAGAAACGAACGUACUCCCCUCACAGAUGUAGGGUAAGGUAAUGAGUCAAUAAUAUCCGUUUUUGCUUUAUCGACCUCAAUACCUUCUGAGGAAACUAUAUGACCCAAAAUUAAUCCUUUGUCAACCAUGAAGUGGCAUUUUUCAUAAUUUAAAACAAGAUUAAAUUCUAGGCAUCUUUGUAAUAUCUUAGCAAGAUUAUAGAGACAUUCGUUAAAAGAGUUACCGUACACCGUGAAGUCAUCCAUGAAGACUUCAAUGAUUUUCUUGACAUAAUCGAAGAAUAUACUUACCAUACAUCUCUGGAAAGUGGCCAGAGCAUUACAGAGUCCAAACGGCAUUCAUCUAUACGUAAACGUUCCAAAGGGGCACGUGAAAGUUGUUUUGUUUUGAUCCUCUAGAGCCACCAGAAUUUGGAAAAAUCCUGCGUACCCAUCGAGACAACAAUAAUGGGUCUUACCAACUAAUCGCUCAAGCAUUUGAUCGAUGAAGGGAAGUGGAAAAUGGUUUUUCUGAGUAGCUGCAUUCAACUUCCUGUAAUCGAUGCAAACCCUCCAUGCAUUCUGGACUCGGGUAGGGACUAGCUCUCCUGAUGAGUUUUUCACCACUGCCACGCCAGUUUUCUUGGGCACGACAUGAACCGGGCUAACCCAAACACUAUCGGAGAUCGAGUAUAUCAUUCCAGUAUCCAACAAUUUCUGAAUCUCCUUAUUUACUUCCUCUAUCAUGGGUGGAUUAAGGCACCUUUGAGCAUCUCUCUUUGGUUUCGUGUUAUCUUCGAUGGAAAUUUUGUGCAUACAAGUGGAUGGACUUAACCCUUUUAUGUCUGCUAUUGUCCAACCAAUAGCUUCCUUAUAAUUCCUCAGAACUCGAACUAGACUUUCCUCCUUGUCUUUGAUUAGUUUGUUUAACACUAUCACUGGUAAAGUGUCUUUCUCUCCCAAAAAGACGUACUUGAGGUGGUCCGGUAAUGCUUUAAGCUCCAAGGUUGGUGGCUGCAAAACCGAAGGCAACAUUUUAGUUUGGAAAGGUAAUAGUUCAAAUUGGUUACCUCGAUUCAUCAACGAUGGUUGCGUCUCCAAGUGUUUGACAAUUUCUCACAACGGAUCUCCUAUAAUUGAUAAUUCCUUGAGACGACUUAAAACAUCCAUGUCAAUGCUUCUGUAAAGGACAGUUUCCAACUCAUCAUGGUCAUGAUAUUCAAAAUAAGAUUAAGUUAAACAAUCUAUAAUAUUGAUACUAGAAAUACUUAAUAGUGAGUUAGGAUGACCCAUAGCUUUGUAGACAUUGAAUUUCACGAUCUCACCGUCAAACUCCAUUGUCAGUGUUCCGCACCGAACGUCAAUUUUUGUGCUUGCGGUACUUAGGAACGGUUUUCCAAGCAAAAUGUCAGAUGAAUUAGUUGAGUUAUCGUCCUCCAUAUUAAUAAUGUAGAAAUCUGAAGGGAAAACUAAUUCAUUAACUUUAACAAUGACGUCUUCAAGCAACCCUUUGGGAAAGACGACUGACCUGUUCGCCAACUGAAUUAUUACUCCUGUCUCUUUUAAAAGACCCGUGUUAAUCAACUUAUAAAUAGGAUAAGGCAUAAUAUUAAUGGAAGCCCCUAAAUCACACAUGGAUUUCUUAAUGCCUACAUUACCUAUCUCACAGGAAAUAGCAAACAUACAUUGGUCAUUGUAUUUGGGCGGAACUUUCUUUUGCAGUAUGGCGGAGACAUUUUCUCCUACAUUUACUCUUUCGUUACCUAUUAACCUCUUCUUUAUAGUACACAAUUCCUUGAGGAAAUUUUCAAAACGAGGGAUUUGUUUGAUAGCAUCAAGCAAAGUGAUAUUUACCUCCACCUUCCUGAAUGUUUCGAGGAUUUUUUUCCUCCUUAUCUUUUUUAUCCCUUGCGAGCCUCUCUGGAAAAAGGAGGUGGCAUCACAACUAGUCUCUGAAUUUUUGAUUUCGGUCUGGCUUUUGGAUCAGAGAUCUAUUUUUCCCGUUCAUUGUCUUACCCAUGACUUUAGUCUGGAACUGUUUCCAGAACCUUUCCGCUACGAAGAGCUAUUGCACUUGUAUUCUGCCAAGGAUUCGGCUCUAUCUGGGAAGGUAAUUUACCUUGAGAUUCUAAAUAAUUAACCACCAUCGAGAGUUUACUAACUUGAUUAGUUAACUCUUGUAUUGAUGCAUCUGUCCUCUGUUAGUAUUUUACAGCAUCGACGGUAAGUCUCUCCAUAAUAGCUUCUAGAGAUAUGCUCGGCUUGGGUUGUUGUUGUGGCGGUGGCGGAGGUCUUGGUUGGUAUGAUAGAUUGUACCGGUGAUUAGCUCCAUAAUUCAAGUUUGGAUGAUCCUUCCAUCCGGGAUUGUAGGUGUUAGAGAAAGGAUCAUAGCGUCUUUGCGAAGGUCUUGAAAAACCUCCGACAGCAUCAACAUGUGCCAUUGAAUUAUCGUUAAGGAUUGGGCAUAAAUUCGUUAGAUGUUCAUAUUCCACACAGUUGGGUCAGAUUCUUCUUUUUUUGUAAGUAUAGAUUGAACAAUAUUAGUAAGCUUAUCCAAUUUAUCUUCUAAGGAUGAAACGUUUACCUCAUUAACCCGUCUUGUGGGUUCUGGAUUUGGCCGAUACUGUUGAGAAUUUACCGUCAUGGUGGAUAUCAGUUCUCUUGCCCUUUGAGGAGUCAUAUUUACAAGUGCCCCUCCACUAGUAGUGUCAAUCAUCUUCAUUUCCAUAGGAAGCAAACCCUCGUAGAAAUACUGAAGAAAUGAUUGUUCGGUCAAACUAUGUUGAGGACAACUUGCACAUAGUUUUUUGUACUGCUCCCAAUAGUCGUAGAGCGAUUCACUCUCCAUUUGGCGAAUUCCUACUAUGUCUCUCCUAAGUUCAGCUGCUCACGAUUCUAGAAAGAAUCUGUCAAGAAAUACACGAGAUAAGUCAUCCCAUGUUGUAAUAGAACCGAGGGUAAGUAAAAUAACCAUUCUCUUGUUGUAUCAACUAAAGAAAAUCGAAAGGCCCGAAGUUUAAUUUCAUCUUCAGUUACUCCCUGAGAUUUCAUGCUUGAGCAGACCAUGUGGAAUUCUCUCAAGUGAGUUUGUGGAUUUUCGUUAUUCAAGCCUCGAAAAGUGGGCAAAAGGUGAAUUAGGCCUGAUUUCAACUCAAAUGGGGUUUCUCCGGUUGGAUAGUUGAUGCAUAACGGUGUUUGCUCGUUGGGAGCAGCGACUAGUUGAUGAAUGGUUUGGUUUGCCAUCCUUUCUGGUUCACCGAGGUUAUCUUCUGCUUCUUUCGUUUCAGGAAGUGGUUUGGCCUCAGGUUUAACCACUUCGACUUACUUCCCACGUUGAAUUGCCUCUGCACGAAUUGCUUGACUCAACUUUUCGACUUCAGAUUCUAGGAUCCCUUGUCCUAGCUGAACUUCUACUUUACUUGCACGUUUAAGAGCUUCUGUCUCUUUUCAUCGUGCUCGUGCUAAUUUCUCGAUCUUUGGGUCGUAUUCGAGAUCUUCGGAUGAAGAUCAGGUCCUGAAAAUGAUUUAAACAAUUGUAAGUGUUGCCAGUCCCCGACAACGGUGCCAAAACUAAUGGCUGUCGAUUCCACCAAUAUAAACCUACGCCUAAUUUACAAUUUAAGCAGUAUAGGGAGUAGGGUCGAUCAUUCAGAAACUGGGUUUACUAAAAAUUGUUUCUCUUUCUCGACUAGAUUUUUGUCUGGGCAGUUGUCGUGCCCAAGAAAUUUGGAGGAAGGAUAAAAUUGAAAACCUGGAACCUGAAAUAAACAAGAAAAAAUGCGUGAAAAGUAAAAGCUGAAAAUAAAAUAAUAAAAAUAGUUAAAUAAAUCUGAAGAAAAAUUAAUUAAACUAAGCUCAGCUUUAGGCAUGGGUUUUUCCUCGUCUUUAAACUGAUCCUCGAAAUAAGAUGAACUCCUCUUUUCUAAUAAGCUAGUUAUAACUACCAAGGACACCUCGGACACCAACCCUUCAUUGUGUAAAUUAGUUAUGGAACGUCCAAUAACUAACCCUUACCAAUCGAACAACCAACGAAACGUUCGUGAUUUAGAACUCUGGCAGCUUGGCGUCCUAGAAGAGCCUAGCUCAAACCAAUGCCCUCAACCGCGUGGGACAUUUAAAUCCGAUUAAUACUUCCCUUGACGGAACCAAACAGCAAUCUCCACUUCACACGCCAAUGUGUUCACAGAAAACCGAUUAAACAAUCCAUCCUUUCGGAAUUCGAACUGUACGUCUAACCACACUAACUCAAACGACGUCUUUUUUGACUUAGUGUUGAUUUGACAUUGUCAGUUGACGAAAUCAUACUCUUAAUCCGAAGAAACAACAAGUACUAGAUUUUAGAAGUUAAUUUGCUUAGGUUCGUAACUCACGGAUCUUGACAAGGCUAACUCCGACCUAAAGCUGAAAAUGGAUUUAGUUGACUAAGGUUUGGGACAUGUUGGUAUUGGUCAUAAAUUAAAUAAGGUAAAAAUGGGUAAAAAGAAUGGGUGGCGUGAUUAAGUAUGAGGGCUGGAAUUUUGGUAAUGUAUUAGAGUGGGAUGGUUUGACUACUGGAAAUGAAAAGGAAGUUUGAAAAAGAAAUUGUAAAUGGUUUAAGUUGGUUACAAACUAGAAAUCAAUAAAUAAAAAGAAAAAAAACAGAAACAACGAAUAGCUUCGUGAGAAUGAAGAAGAGAUUGCAUUCAAAGAGGAAAGCUUGAUUUAUGACUUGAUGAAUAAAUGAACAAUGUAGCCCCCUAUUUAUACUAGUGGCUUUGCUAAAUUAAGAGCCACUAGCCAGAGAAAAUCAAGGAAAUAAAAUAUUCCAUGAUAUAAACAAUCCCUACAAAAUCUCCCACUAAGUCAACAAAAAUUUCAGCUAAUUAUAUUGAUUAAAUACUAAAGUUACAUAUUUUAUGUAAUUAAUUUGGUUAAUUUAUGAAAGUGCACCACUAAUUUUGCCAUAUUUAUUAAAUUUUGUGCAGGAAUGCAAUUUGGGGCUAAAUAGAAGAAAAAGGAAACAAUUGGGCUAGAUUGAAGAAAGAAGCAAAGAAGGAGAGCCAAAGAAGAAUUUUUCCAAAAUUAAUUAGCUGAAAUUUUUGAGUUAGUGGGAGAAUAUUUUGGGAUUUAUUUUAUUAUGGGAUAUUUUUCCUUAAUUUCCUAUGACUAGUUGCCUCCUAAUUUAGUAAAUCCUCUAGUAUAAAUAGAGCUUGUAUUGUUCAUCAUUUCAUCAAUCAAAAAAAUAUUAAGCUCUUGUCUUUCAAUACAUUCUCUCUUUUCUCACGUAGCAUUGUUGUUUCUUUAGUUUCCUUUCUUUCAAUUUUUUCCAGUAGCUAAUCACCAAAUCAAGCCAUUUGCAAUUUCUUUUUUUUUCAAUUCUUUUCCAAAUAGUAAACCACCCCACUUUAAUAUAUUCCAACCCCCAUACUCAAUCACAUCACCCAUCUUUUCACCCAUUUACCUUAAUUAAUUUAUCAAAUACCAACAUGUCCCAAACCUUAGCCAACUAAACCCAUUUUUAGCUUUAGGCCGAAAUUAGCCUCGUCAAAACCCGUGAGUUACGAACCCGAGCCAUUUAACUCCUAAAAUUCCAGUACUUAUUACUUCUCCGGAUUAAGAGUGUGAUUUUGUCAGCUCAUAAAGUCAGAUAAACACUAAGUCAAAAAAGACGUCGUUUUAUUUAGUGUGGUUAGACGUACAGUUGGAAUUCCGAAAGGAACGUUUCCAAUCAGUUUUCUGUGAACACAUUGGUGUGCCAAGUGGAGAUUGCUGUUUGGUUCCGUCAAGGGAAGUAGUAACCGGAUUUAAAUGUCCCACGCGGUUGAGCACAUUGGUUCGAGCUAGGCUCUUCUAGAACGCAAAGUUGCCGGAGUUCUAAAUCACGAACGUUUCGUGGUUGUUCGAUCGGUAAGGAUUAGUUAUUGGACGUUCUAUAACUAAUUUACACAAGGAAGAGUUGGUGUCCGAGGCGUCCUUGGUAGCUAUAACUAGCUUAUUAGAAAAGAGGAGUUCAUCCAAUUUCGAGGAUCGGUUCAAAGACGAGGAAAAUUCGUGUCUAAAGCUGAGCUCAUUCUAAUUAAUUUUUCUUAAUAUUUAUUUCACGGUUUUUAUUAUUCUGUUUUCAACCUUUACUUUUGACGUUAUUUUUCUGUUAAUUUCAGGUUUUCAAACUUUUAUCCCCCCGAACUUCUUAGGCACGACAGCUACCCCGACAUAAAUCUGGUCAAGCGAGCAACAAUUUACAGUAAACCAGUCUCUGAGGGAUCGACCCUACUCCCUAUACUGCAUAAUUUGCAAAUUAAGGCGUAGGUUUAUAUUGGUGGAUUCGACACCCAUCAGUUUUGGCACCGUUGCCGGGGGACUGGCAAUACUUAUAAUUGUUUAAAUUAUCUUCAUGACCAGAUCUUCAUCCGGAGAUCUCGAAUACGACCCAGAGAUCGAAAAAUCAGCACGAGCACGACGAAAAGAGACAGACGCUCUUAAAGAUGCAAGUAAAGAAGAAGUUGAGCUAGGACAAUGGCUCUUAGAAACCGACAUUGAAAAGUUGAGACUAGCAAUUCGAGUAGAGGCAAUUCGACGUGGAAAACAAGUCGAAGUGGUUGAUCCUAAAACCGAACCACUUCCUGCAACAAAAGAAGUAGAAGACAACCUCGGUGAACGAGAAAGGAUGGCGAACCGAACCAUUCGUCAACUAGCCGCUGCUCCCAACGAGCAAACACCGUUAUGCAUCAACUAUCCAAUCGGAGAAACCCCAUUCGAGUUGAAGUCAGGCCUGAUCCACCUUUUGCCCACUUUUCGAGGCUUGAAGAAUGAGAAUCCACAUACCCACUUGAGAGAAUUCCAUAUGGUCUGCUCAAGCAUGAAACCACAGGGAGUAACCGAAGAUGAAAUUAAACUUCGGGCCUUUCCUUUUUCUUUAGUUGAUACAGCAAAAGAAUGGUUAUUUUACUUACCUCCAGGUUCUAUUUCAACGUGGGAUGACUUAUCUCGUGUAUUUCUUGAUAGAUUCUUUCCAGCAUCACGAGCAGCUGAACUUAGGAGAGACAUAGUGGGAAUUCGCCAAAUGGAGAGUGAAUUGCUCUACGACUAUUGGGAGCGGUACAAAAAACUGUGUGCAAGUUGUCCUCAACACGGUUUGACCAAACAAUCACUUCUUCAAUAUUUUUACGAGGGUUUGCUCCCUAUGGAAAUGAAAAUGAUUGACGCAGCUAGUGGUGGGGCGCUCGUCAAUAUGACUCCUCAAAGGGCAAGAGAACUGAUAUCCACUAUGGCGGCAAAUUCUCAACAGUAUCGGCCAAAUUCAAAACCCACAAGACAGGUUAAUGGGGUAAACAUUUCAUCCUUAGAAGAUAAAUUGGAUAAGGUCACUAAUGUUGUUCAAUCUAUGCUUACAGAAAAGAAGAAUCGGACCCAACUGUGUGGGAUAUGUACUACGUCUGAACAUUCGACGGAUUUGUGCCUAAUCCUUAACGAAUAUUUAACGGCACAUGUCGACGCUGUCAGAGGUUUUCCAGGACCUCCACAAAAACGCUAUGAUCCUUUCUCCAACACCUACAAUCCCGGGUGGAAAGAUCAUCCCAACUUGAAUUACGGAGCUAAUCCCUGAUAUAAUCCGUCAUACCAACCGAGACCUUUGCAACCACCGCAACUGCCACUCAAGCCGAGCACAUCUCUAGAAGCUAUUGUGGAAAGACUUGCCGUCGAUGCUGUGAAAUAUCAACAGAGGAUAGAUGAAUCAAUUCAGGAGUUAACUAAUCAAGUUAGUAAACUCUCGAUGGCAGUUAAUCGUUUGGAAUCUCAAGGUAAAUUACCUUCCCAGACAGAGCCGAAUCCUCGGCAGAAUGCAAGUGCAAUAACUCUUCGUAGCGGAAAAGUUCUGGAAACAGUUCCAGACAAAAGUCAUGGGCAAGACAAUGAACGGGAAAAAUAUAUCUCUGAUCCAAAAGCCAGACCAAAAUCAGAAAUUCAGAAACCAGUUGUGGUGCCACCUUCUUUUCCAGGGAGACUCGCGAAGGAUAAGAAAGAAAAGGAGGAAAAAGAAAUCCUCGAAACGUUCAGGAAAAUGGAGGUGAAUAUCCUUUUGCUCGACGCCAUCAAACAAAUCCCUCGUUAUGCAAAAUUUCUCAAGGAAUUGUGCACUAGCAAAAGGAGGUUAAUAAGUAACGAAAGAGUAAAUGUAGGAGAAAAUGUCUCCGCGGUACUACAAAAGAAAGUUCCGCCUAAAUACAAGGACCAAGGUAUGUUUGCUAUUUCCUGUGAGAUAGGUAAUGUAGGCAUUAAGAAAGCAAUGUGUGAGUGAGGCGCUUCCAUUAAUGUUAUGCCUUAUCCUAUAUAUAAGUUGAUUAAGGCGGGUCCUUUGAAAAAGGCAGGAGUAAUAAUCCAGUUGGCAGACAGGUCAGUCAUCUAUCCCGAAGGGUUGCUUGAAGACGUCCUUGUUAAAGUUAACGAAUUAGUUUUCCCUGCAGAUUUCUACAUUAUUAAUAUGGAGGACGAUAACUCAACUAAUUCGUCUGAUAUUUUGCUUGGAAGGCCAUUCUUAAGUACCGCAAGCGCAAAAAUUAAUGUUCAGAGUGGAACAUUGACAAUGGAGUUUGAUGGCGAAAUCAUGAAAUUCAAUGUCUACGAAGCCAUGAGUCAUCCUAACUCAUUGUCAAAUAUUUCCAGUAUCGAUAAUAUAGAUUGUUUAACUUAAAAUUAUUCUGAAUAUCAUGACUUUGAUGAGUUGGAAACUGUCCUUUACAGAAGCAUUGACAUGGAUGUAUUGAGUCGUCUUGAGGAGUUAACGGUUAUAGAAGAUCCGUUGCGAGAAACUGUCAAACACUUGGAGACUCAACCAUCAUCGGCGAGUCGAGGUAACCAUCUUGAACUAUUACCUUCCCAAGUUAAAAUGUUGCCUUCGAUUUUGUAGCCACCAACCUUGGAGCUUAAAGCGUUACCAGACGACCUCAUGUAUGUCUUUUUGGGAGAGAAAGAUACCUUACCGGUAAUAGUGUCAAAUAGACUAACCAAAGACGAGGAGGAAAGUCUAGUUCGAGUUCUGAAGGAUUAUAAGGAAGCUAUUGGUUGGACAAUAGCUGACAUAAAAGGGCUAAGUCCGUCCACUUGUAUGCACAGAAUUUCCAUCGAAGAUAACACGAAACCAAAGAGAGAUGCUCAGAAGCGCCUUAAUCCACCCAUGACGGAGGUAGUAAAGAAGGAGAUCCAGAAAAUGUUGGAUGCUGGAAUGAUAUACCCGAUCUCUGACAGUGAUUGGGUUAGCCCAGUUCAUGUCGGCCCAAGAAAACUGGCGUGACAGUGGUGCAAAAUUCAUCAGGAGAGCUAGUUCCUACUCGAGUCUAGAAUGGAUGGAGGGUUUGCAUCGAUUACAGAAAGUUGAAUGCAGCUACCCAGAAGGACCAUUUCCCACUUCCCUUCAUCGAUCAAAUGCUCGAGCGAUUAGCUGGUAAGACUCAUUAUUGUUGUCUCGAUGGAUAUUCAGGAUUUUUCCAAAUUCCGGUGGCGCUUGAAUAUCAAGACAAAACAACUUUCAUGUGCCCCUUUUGAAUGUUUGCGUAUAGACGAAUACCGUUUGGACUCUGUAAUGCUCCGGCCACCUUUCAGAGAUGCAUGGUAAGCAUAUUCUCCGAUUACGUCGAGAAAAUCAUUGAAGUCUUCAUGGAUGACUUCACGGUGUACGGUAACUCUUUUAAUGAAUGUCUCGAUAAUCCUGCUAAGAUAUUACAAAGAUGCCUAGAAUUUAAUCUUAUUUUAAAUUAUGAAAAAUGCCACUUCAUGGUUGACAAAGGAUUAAUUUUAGGCCAUAUAGUUUCCUCAGAAGGUAUUGAGGUUGAUAAAGUAAAAACGGAUAUUAUUAACUCAUUACCUUACCCCACAUCUGUGAGGGAAAUUCGUUCGUUUCUUGGGCGUGCAGGAUUUUACAGACGAUUCAUAAAAGACUUCUCAAAGAUCGCGCAACCGCUUUGCAGUCUGUUACAGAAGGAUAAAGAAUUUAAAUUUGACCAGACUUGUAAAGAUGCAUUUGACGUACUGAAGCAGAAAUUGGUCUCCGCCCCUAUAGUACAACCACCAAAUUGGAACUUCCCCUUCGAAAUUAUGUGUGAUGCAAGUGAUCGAAGUGUGGGAGCUGUUCUUGGCCAAAGAAUAGGGAAAGAGCCUCAUGUUAUCUACUACGCUUCGAAAACCUUGGAUGCUGCCCAAAGCAAUUACACAACCACCGAGAAAGAAUUAUUAGCUGUUGUGUUUGCUUUAGAUAAAUUUAGAUCUUACCUGUUGGGAACUAAAGUAAUUAUAUUUUCUGAUCAUGCAGCUUUGAAGUAUUUAGUAGGGAAGAAUGAGGCAAAACCUCGACUGAUCAGGUGGAUUCUACUUCUGCAAGAAUUUGAUUUUGAAAUUCGAGAUAGAAAAGGAUGCGAAAACUUAGUAGCUGACCAUCUGAGUCGAUUACCGAUUCCAGUAGACGACACACCAUUGAAAGACAACUUCCUAGAUGAAAACCUAUUUUCAGCAAAUGUGGUUCAUCCUUGGUACGCAGAUAUAGUAAACUAUCUUGUCACAGGUACUAUACCUUCAGAAUUACCAAUGUUUAAAAAAGAUAAGAUUAAAAAGGACGCUCGAUAUUACAUUUGGGACGAUCCUUACCUAUGGAAGCAUUGCUCCGAUCAGCUAAUCCGACGGUGUGUAACAGAAACAGAGGUACAGUCUAUCCUUGCCUAUGGAAGCAAUGCUCCGAUCAGGUAAUCCGACGGUGUGUAGCAGAAAUAGAGGUACAGUCUAUCUUAACUUUUUGUCAUUCUUAUGCAUGUGGGAGGACACUUUGGACCCAAACGCACUGCACACAAAAUUCUAAAGUGUGGACUAUUUUGGCCAAACAUAUUUCGUGAUGCCUUCUUAUUCUGUAAAACCUGUGAAAGAUGCCAAAAAGUUGGUAACCUUAGUCGACGAAAUGAGAUGCCCCUUACUCCGAUCCAUAUUUGUGAAAUUUUUGAUGUGUGGGGCAUCUAUUUUAUGGGUCCUUUUAUUUCUUCUUUCGGUAAUUUUUAUAUACUCUUAGCUGUUGAUUACGUUUCUAAGUGGAUAGAGGCAAAUGCUACUCGCAAUGAUAAUGCUAAGACUGUGGUUGACUUUCUUAAAAGUUCUAUCUUUUCCAGGUAUGGCACCCCACGAGCAUUAAUCAGCGACAGAGAAACUCAUUUCUACAAUAAACUCGUAAGUGCACUUAUGGAAAAAUAUGGAGUGACUCAACGAAUUGCCACUGCCUACCAUCACAAACAACGGACAAGCUGAAGUGUCAAAUCGAGAAAUCAAGUCCAUACUGGAGAAGACUGUUAAACCUAACAGAAAGGAUUGGAGCUUGAGACUAAACGACGCACUUUGGCUUAUAGGACAGCUUACAAGGGUCCAAUAGCAUGUCACCUUAUCGACUUUUUUUUAAACCGUGCCAUCUCCCGGUCGAAUUAGAGCAUAAAGCUUUUUGGGCAGUUAAGCAGUGUAAUAUGGAGAUGGAGAUCGCAGGAAGAGCUCGAAAGUUGGACAUUCAGGGACUUGAGGAAAUUAGAAACGAUGCAUAUGAAAAUGCUCGAGUUUAUAAAGAAAAGAUGAAGGCGUUCCACGAUGAUCACUAGGAAGCGGUUUUCAAUAGGACAAAAAGUUCUCCUAUACGACUCCACCUUAAAAAUUUUUGGUAAGCUUCGAUCCAAAUGGAUAGUCCAUUACUACCACUAAUUUAUUCUCAAAUGGUGCAGUGGAAAUUCAAAGCGAAGAACCCGGAAGUGCUUUAAGGUGAAUGGACAACGAUUGAAACCCUUCUACGAGAAUUUCAAACGCACACGAUUGAGGAGAUUGUUCUCGAGGAGCCCGAAAAUUGAAUAAUAGGUCGUCGAGCUAAACGACGUUAAACAUAGCGCUGUUGGGAGGCAACCCAAAUUUUCUUUUCCUUUAUGCAAAUAAUUUUUGGUAAAAUGGAAAAUGAAAAUGCAUGUCGANNNNNNNNNNNNNNNNNNNNNNNNNNNNNNNNNNNNNNNNNNNNNNNNNNNNNNNNNNNNNNNNNNNNNNNNNNNNNNNNNNNNNNNNNNNNNNNNNNNNNNNNNNNNNNNNNNNNNNNNNNNNNNNNNNNNNNNNNNNNNNNNNNNNNNNNNNNNNNNNNNNNNNNNNNNNNNNNNNNNNNNNNNNNNNNNNNNNNNNNNNNNNNNNNNNNNNNNNNNNNNNNNNNNNNNNNNNNNNNNNNNNNNNNNNNNNNNNNNNNNNNNNNNNNNNNNNNNNNNNNNNNNNNNNNNNNNNNNNNNNNNNNNNNNNNNNNNNNNNNNNNNNNNNNNNNNNNNNNNNNNNNNNNNNNNNNNNNNNNNNNNNNNNNNNNNNNNNNNNNNNNNNNNNNNNNNNNNNNNNNNNNNNNNNNNNNNNNNNNNNNNNNNNNNNNNNNNNNNNNNNNNNNNNNNNNNNNNNNNNNNNNNNNNNNNNNNNNNNNNNNNNNNNNNNNNNNNNNNNNAAUAGAUAACAUGAGGCUCUUUUCCCUAUUCUUUGGCCAAGAAUAGCUCCCCACACUUUGGUCACUUGCAUCACACUUGAUUUUCGAAUGAGAAGUUCUAAUUUGGUGGUUACACUAUGGGAGCGGAAACCAAUUUCAGCAAGUCAAAUGCGUCUUUACAAGUUUGGUUCAAAUUCAAAUUCUUUAUCCUUUUGUAUUAGAUUGCAAAUCGGUUGCACGAUCACGAUCUUCGAAAAGUCUUUUAUGAAUCGUCUAUAAAAUCCUGCAUGGCCAAGAAACGAACGUACUCCCCUCACAGAUGUAGGUAGGUAAUGAGUCAAUAAUAUCCGUUUUUGCUUUAUCGACCUCAAUACCUUCUGAGGAAAUAUGACCCAAAAUUAAUCCUUUGUCACCAUGAAGUGGCAUUUUUCAUAAUUUAAAAACAAGAUUAAAUUCUAGGCAUCUUUGUAAUAUCUUAGCAAGAUUAUAGAGACAUUCGUUAAAAGAGUUACCGUACACCGUGAAGUCAUCCAUGAAGACUUCAAUGAUUUUCUUGACAUAAUCGAAGAAUAUACUUACCACAACAUCUCUGGAAAGUGGCCAGAGCAUUACAGAGUCCAAACGGCAUUCAUCUAUACGUAAACGUUCCAAAGGGGCACGUGAAAGUUGUUUUGUUUUGAUCCUCUAGAGCCACCAGAAUUUGGAAAAAUCUUGCGUACCCAUCGACAACAAUAAUGGGUCUUACCAACUAAUCGCUCAGCAUUUGAUCGAUGAAGGGAAGUGGAAAAUAGUUUUUCUGAGUAGCUGCAUUCAACUUCCUGUAAUCGAUGCAAACCCUCCAUGCAUUCUGGACUCGGGUAGGGACUAGCUCUCCUGAUGAGUUUUUCACCACUGCCACGCCAGUUUUCUUGGGCACGACAUGAACCGGGCUAACCCAAACACUAUCGGAGAUCGAGUAUAUCAUUCCAGUAUCCAACAAUUUCUGAAUCUCUUACUACCUCUAUCAUGGGUGGAUUAAGGCACCUUUGAGCAUCCUCUCUUUGGUUUCGUGUUUAUCUUCGAUGGAAAUUUUGUGGCAUACAAGUGGAUGGACUUAAACCCUGUUUAUGUCUGCUAUUGUCCAACCAAUAGCUUCCGUAUAAUGCCUCAGAACUCGAACUAGACUUCCUCCUUGUCUUUGAUUAGUUUGUUUAAAAACUAUCAACUGGUAAAGUGUCUUUCUCUCCCAAAAAGACGUACUUGAGGUGGUCCGGUAAUGCUUUAAGCUCCAAGGUUGGUGGCUGCAAAACCGAAGGCAACAUUUUAGUUUGGAAAGGUCAUAGUUCAAAUUGGUUACCCUCGAUUCAUCAACGAUGGUUGCCGUCUCCAAGUGUUUGACAAUUUCUCACAACGGAUCUCCUAUAAUUGAUAAUUCCUUGAGACGACUUAAAACAUCCAGUCAAUGCUUCUGUAAAGGACAGUUUCCAACUCAUAUGGUCAUGAUAUUCAAAUAAGAUUAAGUUAAACAAUCUAUAAUAUUGAUACUAGAAAUACUAAUAGUGAGUUAGGAUGACCCAUAGCUUUGUAGACAUUGAAUUUCACGAUCUCACCGUCAAACUCCUAUUGUCAGUGUCCGCACCGAACGUCAAUUUUUGUGCUUGCGGUACUUAGGAACGGUUUUCCAAGCAAAAUGUCAGAUGAAUUAGUUGAGUUAUCGUCCUCCAUAUUAAUAAUGUAGAAAUCUGAAGGGAAAACUAAUUCAUAACUUUAACAAUGACGUCUUCAAGCAACCCUUUGGGAAAGACGACUGACCUGUUCGCCAACUGAAUUAUUACUCCUGUCUCUUUUAAAAGACCCGUGUUAAUCAACUUAUAAAUAGGAUAAGGCAUAAUAUUAAUGGAAGCCCCUAAAUCACACAUGGAUUUCUUAAUGCCUAAAUUACCUAUCUCACAGGAAAUAGCAAACAUACAUUGGUCAUUUGUAUUUGGGCGGAACUUUUCUUUUGCAGUAUGGCGGAGACAUUUUCUCCUACAUUUAACUCUUCGUUACCUAUUAACCUCUUCUUUAUAGUACACAAUUCCUUGAGGAAAUUUCAAAACGAGGGAUUUGUUUGAUAGCAUCAAGCAAAGUGAUAUUUACCUCCACCUUCCUGAAUGUUUCGAGGAUUUUUUUCCUCCUUAUCUUUUUUAUCCCUUGCGAGCCUCUCUGGAAAAAGGAAGGUGGCAUCACAACUAGUCUCUGAAUUUUUGAUUUCGGUCUGCUUUUGGAUCAGAGAUCUAUUUUUCCCGUUCAUUGUCUUACCCAUGACUUUAGUCUGGAACUGUUUCCAGAACCUUUCCGCUACGAAGAGCUAUUGCACUUGUAUUCUGCCAAGGAUUCGGCUCUAUCUGGGAAGGUAAUUUACCUUGAGAUUCUAAAUAAUUAACCACCAUCGAGAGUUUACUAACUUGAUUAGUUACUCUUGUAUUGAUGCAUCUGUCCUCUGUUAGUAUUUUACAGCAUCGACGGUAAGUCUCUCCAUAAUAGCUUCUAGAGAUAUGCUCGGCUUGGGUUGUUGUUGUGGCGGUGGCGGAGGGUCUUGGUUGGUAUGAUAGAUUGUCCGGUGAUUAGCUCCAUAAUUCAAGUUUGGAUGAUCCUUCCAUCCGGGAUUGUAGGUGUUAGAGAAAGGAUCAUAGCGUCUUUGCGAAGGUCUUGAAAAAACCUCCGACAGCAUCAACAUGUGCCAUUGAAUUAUCGUUAAGGAUUGGGCAUAAAUUCGUUAGAUGUUCAUAUUCCCACACAGUUGGGUCAGAUUCUUCUUUUUUGUAAGUAUAGAUUGAACAAUAUUAGUAAGCUUAUCCAAUUUAUCUUCUAAGGAUGAAACGUUUACCUCAUUAACCCGUCUUGUGGGUUCUGGAUUUGGCCGAUACUGUUGAGAAUUUACCGUCAUGGUGGAUAUCAGUUCUCUUGCCCUUUGAGGAGUCAUAUUUACAAGUGCCCCUCCACUAGUAGUGUCAAUCAUCUUCAUUUCCAUAGGAAGCAAACCCUCGUAGAAAUACUGAAGAAAUGAUUGUUCGGUCAAACUAUGUUGAGGACAACUUGCACAUAGUUUUUUGUACUGCUCCCAAUAGUCGUAGAGCGAUUCACUCUCCAUUUGGCGAAUUCCUACUAUGUCUCUCCUAAGUUCAGCUGCUCACGAUUCUAGAAAGAAUCUGUCAAGAAAUACACGAGAUAAGUCAUCCCAUGUUGUAAUAGAACCGAGGGUAAGUAAAAUAACCAUUCUCUUGUUGUAUCAACUAAAGAAAAUCGAAAGGCCCGAAGUUUAAUUUCAUCUUCAGUUACUCCCUGAGAUUUCAUGCUUGAGCAGACCAUGUGGAAUUCUCUCAAGUGAGUUUGUGGAUUUUCGUUAUUCAAGCCUCGAAAAGUGGGCAAAAGGUGAAUUAGGCCUGAUUUCAACUCAAAUGGGGUUUCUCCGGUUGGAUAGUUGAUGCAUAACGGUGUUUGCUCGUUGGGAGCAGCGACUAGUUGAUGAAUGGUUUGGUUUGCCAUCCUUUCUGGUUCACCGAGGUUAUCUUCUGCUUCUUUCGUUUCAGGAAGUGGUUUGGCCUCAGGUUUAACCACUUCGACUUACUUCCCACGUUGAAUUGCCUCUGCACGAAUUGCUUGACUCAACUUUUCGACUUCAGAUUCUAGGAUCCCUUGUCCUAGCUGAACUUCUACUUUACUUGCACGUUUAAGAGCUUCUGUCUCUUUUCAUCGUGCUCGUGCUAAUUUCUCGAUCUUUGGGUCGUAUUCGAGAUCUUCGGAUGAAGAUCAGGUCCUGAAAAUGAUUUAAACAAUUGUAAGUGUUGCCAGUCCCCGACAACGGUGCCAAAACUAAUGGCUGUCGAUUCCACCAAUAUAAACCUACGCCUAAUUUACAAUUUAAGCAGUAUAGGGAGUAGGGUCGAUCAUUCAGAAACUGGGUUUACUAAAAAUUGUUUCUCUUUCUCGACUAGAUUUUUGUCUGGGCAGUUGUCGUGCCCAAGAAAUUUGGAGGAAGGAUAAAAUUGAAAACCUGGAACCUGAAAUAAACAAGAAAAAAUGCGUGAAAAGUAAAAGCUGAAAAUAAAAUAAUAAAAAUAGUUAAAUAAAUCUGAAGAAAAAUUAAUUAAACUAAGCUCAGCUUUAGGCAUGGGUUUUUCCUCGUCUUUAAACUGAUCCUCGAAAUAAGAUGAACUCCUCUUUUCUAAUAAGCUAGUUAUAACUACCAAGGACACCUCGGACACCAACCCUUCAUUGUGUAAAUUAGUUAUGGAACGUCCAAUAACUAACCCUUACCAAUCGAACAACCAACGAAACGUUCGUGAUUUAGAACUCUGGCAGCUUGGCGUCCUAGAAGAGCCUAGCUCAAACCAAUGCCCUCAACCGCGUGGGACAUUUAAAUCCGAUUAAUACUUCCCUUGACGGAACCAAACAGCAAUCUCCACUUCACACGCCAAUGUGUUCACAGAAAACCGAUUAAACAAUCCAUCCUUUCGGAAUUCGAACUGUACGUCUAACCACACUAACUCAAACGACGUCUUUUUUGACUUAGUGUUGAUUUGACAUUGUCAGUUGACGAAAUCAUACUCUUAAUCCGAAGAAACAACAAGUACUAGAUUUUAGAAGUUAAUUUGCUUAGGUUCGUAACUCACGGAUCUUGACAAGGCUAACUCCGACCUAAAGCUGAAAAUGGAUUUAGUUGACUAAGGUUUGGGACAUGUUGGUAUUGGUCAUAAAUUAAAUAAGGUAAAAAUGGGUAAAAAGAAUGGGUGGCGUGAUUAAGUAUGAGGGCUGGAAUUUUGGUAAUGUAUUAGAGUGGGAUGGUUUGACUACUGGAAAUGAAAAGGAAGUUUGAAAAAGAAAUUGUAAAUGGUUUAAGUUGGUUACAAACUAGAAAUCAAUAAAUAAAAAGAAAAAAAACAGAAACAACGAAUAGCUUCGUGAGAAUGAAGAAGAGAUUGCAUUCAAAGAGGAAAGCUUGAUUUAUGACUUGAUGAAUAAAUGAACAAUGUAGCCCCCUAUUUAUACUAGUGGCUUUGCUAAAUUAAGAGCCACUAGCCAGAGAAAAUCAAGGAAAUAAAAUAUUCCAUGAUAUAAACAAUCCCUACAAAAUCUCCCACUAAGUCAACAAAAAUUUCAGCUAAUUAUAUUGAUUAAAUACUAAAGUUACAUAUUUUAUGUAAUUAAUUUGGUUAAUUUAUGAAAGUGCACCACUAAUUUUGCCAUAUUUAUUAAAUUUUGUGCAGGAAUGCAAUUUGGGGCUAAAUAGAAGAAAAAGGAAACAAUUGGGCUAGAUUGAAGAAAGAAGCAAAGAAGGAGAGCCAAAGAAGAAUUUUUCCAAAAUUAAUUAGCUGAAAUUUUUGAGUUAGUGGGAGAAUAUUUUGGGAUUUAUUUUAUUAUGGGAUAUUUUUCCUUAAUUUCCUAUGACUAGUUGCCUCCUAAUUUAGUAAAUCCUCUAGUAUAAAUAGAGCUUGUAUUGUUCAUCAUUUCAUCAAUCAAAAAAUAUUAAGCUCUUGUCUUUCAAUACAUUCUCUCUUUUCUCACGUAGCAUUGUUGUUUCUUUAGUUUCCUUUCUUUCAAUUUUUUCCAGUAGCUAAUCACCAAAUCAAGCCAUUUGCAAUUUCUUUUUUUUCAAUUCUUUUCCAAAUAGUAAACCACCCCACUUUAAUAUAUUCCAACCCCCAUACUCAAUCACAUCACCCAUCUUUUCACCCAUUUACCUUAAUUAAUUUAUCAAAUACCAACAUGUCCCAAACCUUAGCCAACUAAACCCAUUUUUAGCUUUAGGCCGAAAUUAGCCUCGUCAAAACCCGUGAGUUACGAACCCGAGCCAUUUAACUCCUAAAAUUCCAGUACUUAUUACUUCUCCGGAUUAAGAGUGUGAUUUUGUCAGCUCAUAAAGUCAGAUAAACACUAAGUCAAAAAAGACGUCGUUUUAUUUAGUGUGGUUAGACGUACAGUUGGAAUUCCGAAAGGAACGUUUCCAAUCAGUUUUCUGUGAACACAUUGGUGUGCCAAGUGGAGAUUGCUGUUUGGUUCCGUCAAGGGAAGUAGUAACCGGAUUUAAAUGUCCCACGCGGUUGAGCACAUUGGUUCGAGCUAGGCUCUUCUAGAACGCAAAGUUGCCGGAGUUCUAAAUCACGAACGUUUCGUGGUUGUUCGAUCGGUAAGGAUUAGUUAUUGGACGUUCUAUAACUAAUUUACACAAGGAAGAGUUGGUGUCCGAGGCGUCCUUGGUAGCUAUAACUAGCUUAUUAGAAAAGAGGAGUUCAUCCAAUUUCGAGGAUCGGUUCAAAGACGAGGAAAAUUCGUGUCUAAAGCUGAGCUCAUUCUAAUUAAUUUUUCUUAAUAUUUAUUUCACGGUUUUUAUUAUUCUGUUUUCAACCUUUACUUUUGACGUUAUUUUUCUGUUAAUUUCAGGUUUUCAAACUUUUAUCCCCCCGAACUUCUUAGGCACGACAGCUACCCCGACAUAAAUCUGGUCAAGCGAGCAACAAUUUACAGUAAACCAGUCUCUGAGGGAUCGACCCUACUCCCUAUACUGCAUAAUUUGCAAAUUAAGGCGUAGGUUUAUAUUGGUGGAUUCGACACCCAUCAGUUUUGGCACCGUUGCCGGGGGACUGGCAAUACUUAUAAUUGUUUAAAUUAUCUUCAUGACCAGAUCUUCAUCCGGAGAUCUCGAAUACGACCCAGAGAUCGAAAAAUCAGCACGAGCACGACGAAAAGAGACAGACGCUCUUAAAGAUGCAAGUAAAGAAGAAGUUGAGCUAGGACAAUGGCUCUUAGAAACCGACAUUGAAAAGUUGAGACUAGCAAUUCGAGUAGAGGCAAUUCGACGUGGAAAACAAGUCGAAGUGGUUGAUCCUAAAACCGAACCACUUCCUGCAACAAAAGAAGUAGAAGACAACCUCGGUGAACGAGAAAGGAUGGCGAACCGAACCAUUCGUCAACUAGCCGCUGCUCCCAACGAGCAAACACCGUUAUGCAUCAACUAUCCAAUCGGAGAAACCCCAUUCGAGUUGAAGUCAGGCCUGAUCCACCUUUUGCCCACUUUUCGAGGCUUGAAGAAUGAGAAUCCACAUACCCACUUGAGAGAAUUCCAUAUGGUCUGCUCAAGCAUGAAACCACAGGGAGUAACCGAAGAUGAAAUUAAACUUCGGGCCUUUCCUUUUUCUUUAGUUGAUACAGCAAAAGAAUGGUUAUUUUACUUACCUCCAGGUUCUAUUUCAACGUGGGAUGACUUAUCUCGUGUAUUUCUUGAUAGAUUCUUUCCAGCAUCACGAGCAGCUGAACUUAGGAGAGACAUAGUGGGAAUUCGCCAAAUGGAGAGUGAAUUGCUCUACGACUAUUGGGAGCGGUACAAAAAACUGUGUGCAAGUUGUCCUCAACACGGUUUGACCAAACAAUCACUUCUUCAAUAUUUUUACGAGGGUUUGCUCCCUAUGGAAAUGAAAAUGAUUGACGCAGCUAGUGGUGGGGCGCUCGUCAAUAUGACUCCUCAAAGGGCAAGAGAACUGAUAUCCACUAUGGCGGCAAAUUCUCAACAGUAUCGGCCAAAUUCAAAACCCACAAGACAGGUUAAUGGGGUAAACAUUUCAUCCUUAGAAGAUAAAUUGGAUAAGGUCACUAAUGUUGUUCAAUCUAUGCUUACAGAAAAGAAGAAUCGGACCCAACUGUGUGGGAUAUGUACUACGUCUGAACAUUCGACGGAUUUGUGCCUAAUCCUUAACGAAUAUUUAACGGCACAUGUCGACGCUGUCAGAGGUUUUCCAGGACCUCCACAAAAACGCUAUGAUCCUUUCUCCAACACCUACAAUCCCGGGUGGAAAGAUCAUCCCAACUUGAAUUACGGAGCUAAUCCCUGAUAUAAUCCGUCAUACCAACCGAGACCUUUGCAACCACCGCAACUGCCACUCAAGCCGAGCACAUCUCUAGAAGCUAUUGUGGAAAGACUUGCCGUCGAUGCUGUGAAAUAUCAACAGAGGAUAGAUGAAUCAAUUCAGGAGUUAACUAAUCAAGUUAGUAAACUCUCGAUGGCAGUUAAUCGUUUGGAAUCUCAAGGUAAAUUACCUUCCCAGACAGAGCCGAAUCCUCGGCAGAAUGCAAGUGCAAUAACUCUUCGUAGCGGAAAAGUUCUGGAAACAGUUCCAGACAAAAGUCAUGGGCAAGACAAUGAACGGGAAAAAUAUAUCUCUGAUCCAAAAGCCAGACCAAAAUCAGAAAUUCAGAAACCAGUUGUGGUGCCACCUUCUUUUCCAGGGAGACUCGCGAAGGAUAAGAAAGAAAAGGAGGAAAAAGAAAUCCUCGAAACGUUCAGGAAAAUGGAGGUGAAUAUCCUUUUGCUCGACGCCAUCAAACAAAUCCCUCGUUAUGCAAAAUUUCUCAAGGAAUUGUGCACUAGCAAAAGGAGGUUAAUAAGUAACGAAAGAGUAAAUGUAGGAGAAAAUGUCUCCGCGGUACUACAAAAGAAAGUUCCGCCUAAAUACAAGGACCAAGGUAUGUUUGCUAUUUCCUGUGAGAUAGGUAAUGUAGGCAUUAAGAAAGCAAUGUGUGAGUGAGGCGCUUCCAUUAAUGUUAUGCCUUAUCCUAUAUAUAAGUUGAUUAAGGCGGGUCCUUUGAAAAAGGCAGGAGUAAUAAUCCAGUUGGCAGACAGGUCAGUCAUCUAUCCCGAAGGGUUGCUUGAAGACGUCCUUGUUAAAGUUAACGAAUUAGUUUUCCCUGCAGAUUUCUACAUUAUUAAUAUGGAGGACGAUAACUCAACUAAUUCGUCUGAUAUUUUGCUUGGAAGGCCAUUCUUAAGUACCGCAAGCGCAAAAAUUAAUGUUCAGAGUGGAACAUUGACAAUGGAGUUUGAUGGCGAAAUCAUGAAAUUCAAUGUCUACGAAGCCAUGAGUCAUCCUAACUCAUUGUCAAAUAUUUCCAGUAUCGAUAAUAUAGAUUGUUUAACUUAAAAUUAUUCUGAAUAUCAUGACUUUGAUGAGUUGGAAACUGUCCUUUACAGAAGCAUUGACAUGGAUGUAUUGAGUCGUCUUGAGGAGUUAACGGUUAUAGAAGAUCCGUUGCGAGAAACUGUCAAACACUUGGAGACUCAACCAUCAUCGGCGAGUCGAGGUAACCAUCUUGAACUAUUACCUUCCCAAGUUAAAAUGUUGCCUUCGAUUUUGUAGCCACCAACCUUGGAGCUUAAAGCGUUACCAGACGACCUCAUGUAUGUCUUUUUGGGAGAGAAAGAUACCUUACCGGUAAUAGUGUCAAAUAGACUAACCAAAGACGAGGAGGAAAGUCUAGUUCGAGUUCUGAAGGAUUAUAAGGAAGCUAUUGGUUGGACAAUAGCUGACAUAAAAGGGCUAAGUCCGUCCACUUGUAUGCACAGAAUUUCCAUCGAAGAUAACACGAAACCAAAGAGAGAUGCUCAGAAGCGCCUUAAUCCACCCAUGACGGAGGUAGUAAAGAAGGAGAUCCAGAAAAUGUUGGAUGCUGGAAUGAUAUACCCGAUCUCUGACAGUGAUUGGGUUAGCCCAGUUCAUGUCGGCCCAAGAAAACUGGCGUGACAGUGGUGCAAAAUUCAUCAGGAGAGCUAGUUCCUACUCGAGUCUAGAAUGGAUGGAGGGUUUGCAUCGAUUACAGAAAGUUGAAUGCAGCUACCCAGAAGGACCAUUUCCCACUUCCCUUCAUCGAUCAAAUGCUCGAGCGAUUAGCUGGUAAGACUCAUUAUUGUUGUCUCGAUGGAUAUUCAGGAUUUUUCCAAAUUCCGGUGGCGCUUGAAUAUCAAGACAAAACAACUUUCAUGUGCCCCUUUUGAAUGUUUGCGUAUAGACGAAUACCGUUUGGACUCUGUAAUGCUCCGGCCACCUUUCAGAGAUGCAUGGUAAGCAUAUUCUCCGAUUACGUCGAGAAAAUCAUUGAAGUCUUCAUGGAUGACUUCACGGUGUACGGUAACUCUUUUAAUGAAUGUCUCGAUAAUCCUGCUAAGAUAUUACAAAGAUGCCUAGAAUUUAAUCUUAUUUUAAAUUAUGAAAAAUGCCACUUCAUGGUUGACAAAGGAUUAAUUUUAGGCCAUAUAGUUUCCUCAGAAGGUAUUGAGGUUGAUAAAGUAAAAACGGAUAUUAUUAACUCAUUACCUUACCCCACAUCUGUGAGGGAAAUUCGUUCGUUUCUUGGGCGUGCAGGAUUUUACAGACGAUUCAUAAAAGACUUCUCAAAGAUCGCGCAACCGCUUUGCAGUCUGUUACAGAAGGAUAAAGAAUUUAAAUUUGACCAGACUUGUAAAGAUGCAUUUGACGUACUGAAGCAGAAAUUGGUCUCCGCCCCUAUAGUACAACCACCAAAUUGGAACUUCCCCUUCGAAAUUAUGUGUGAUGCAAGUGAUCGAAGUGUGGGAGCUGUUCUUGGCCAAAGAAUAGGGAAAGAGCCUCAUGUUAUCUACUACGCUUCGAAAACCUUGGAUGCUGCCCAAAGCAAUUACACAACCACCGAGAAAGAAUUAUUAGCUGUUGUGUUUGCUUUAGAUAAAUUUAGAUCUUACCUGUUGGGAACUAAAGUAAUUAUAUUUUCUGAUCAUGCAGCUUUGAAGUAUUUAGUAGGGAAGAAUGAGGCAAAACCUCGACUGAUCAGGUGGAUUCUACUUCUGCAAGAAUUUGAUUUUGAAAUUCGAGAUAGAAAAGGAUGCGAAAACUUAGUAGCUGACCAUCUGAGUCGAUUACCGAUUCCAGUAGACGACACACCAUUGAAAGACAACUUCCUAGAUGAAAACCUAUUUUCAGCAAAUGUGGUUCAUCCUUGGUACGCAGAUAUAGUAAACUAUCUUGUCACAGGUACUAUACCUUCAGAAUUACCAAUGUUUAAAAAAGAUAAGAUUAAAAAGGACGCUCGAUAUUACAUUUGGGACGAUCCUUACCUAUGGAAGCAUUGCUCCGAUCAGCUAAUCCGACGGUGUGUAACAGAAACAGAGGUACAGUCUAUCCUUGCCUAUGGAAGCAAUGCUCCGAUCAGGUAAUCCGACGGUGUGUAGCAGAAAUAGAGGUACAGUCUAUCUUAACUUUUUGUCAUUCUUAUGCAUGUGGAGGACACUUUGGACCCAAACGCACUGCACACAAAAUUCUAAAGUGUGGACUAUUUUGGCCAAACAUAUUUCGUGAUGCCUUCUUAUUCUGUAAAACCUGUGAAAGAUGCCAAAAAGUUGGUAACCUUAGUCGACGAAAUGAGAUGCCCCUUACUCCGAUCCAUAUUUGUGAAAUUUUUGAUGUGUGGGGCAUCUAUUUUAUGGGUCCUUUUAUUUCUUCUUUCGGUAAUUUUUAUAUACUCUUAGCUGUUGAUUACGUUUCUAAGUGGAUAGAGGCAAAUGCUACUCGCAAUGAUAAUGCUAAGACUGUGGUUGACUUUCUUAAAAGUUCUAUCUUUUCCAGGUAUGGCACCCCACGAGCAUUAAUCAGCGACAGAGAAACUCAUUUCUACAAUAAACUCGUAAGUGCACUUAUGGAAAAAUAUGGAGUGACUCAACGAAUUGCCACUGCCUACCAUCCACAAACAAACGGACAAGCUGAAGUGUCAAAUCGAGAAAUCAAGUCCAUACUGGAGAAGACUGUUAAACCUAACAGAAAGGGUUGGAGCUUGAGACUAAACGACGCACUUUGGGCUUAUAGGACAGCUUACAAGGGUCCAAUAGGCAUGUCACCUUAUCGACUUGUUUUUGGUAAACCGUGCUAUCUCCCGGUCGAAUUAGAGCAUAAAGCAUUUUGGGCAGUUAAGCAGUGUAAUAUGGAGAUGGAGAUCGCAGGAAGAGCUCGAAAGUUGGACAUUCAGGGACUCGAGGAAAUUAGAAACGAUGCAUAUGAAAAUGCUCGAGUUUAUAAAGAAAAGAUGAAGGCGUUCCACGAUAAGAUGAUCACUAGGAAGCGGUUUUCAAUAGGACAAAAAGUUCUCCUAUACGACUCCACCUUAAAAAUUUUCGCUGGUAAGCUUCGAUCCAAAUGGAUAGGUCCAUUUACUACCACUAAUUUAUUCUCAAAUGGUGCAGUGGAAAUUCAAAGCGAAGAAACCCGGAAGUGCUUUAAGGUGAAUGGACAACGAUUGAAACCCUUCUACGAGAAUUUUCAAACGCACACGAUUGAGGAGAUUGUUCUCGAGGAGCCCGAAAAUUGAAUAACAGGUCGUCGAGCUAACGACGUUAAACAUAGCGCUGUUGGGAGGCAACCCAAAUUUUCUUUUCCUUUAUGCAAAUAAAAUUUUUGGUAAAAUGGAAAAUGAAAAUGCAUGUCGAGGAUUAGUUCUGUCUAAAGAAAGACUUAGUACUUAAGUAUGUCCAUUGUGACUCACCUCUCUUUCCUGGGAACUUACUUGGCACAUUCAUCACUACUGUUUUACCAAAUCUCGUAAUCUUGGUUUUUAAUAAUUUAUUUCUCGAGUUUAUAGCUUAGCUAAUAAAUUUGAAAAAAAAACAUUUUAAUUUUCCUAUUAUUAUUAUUUAUUUUUACUAUUUUAUUUUAUUUUCAUUUUUAUUUUUACAGGAAACAUUCCAAGACAAAAUUAAAUUCCACAUGUCAACCUUCUUUUUAUUUCAGCCAAGGCCCACUCUAUCUACGAGACCACCCUCCAUGACAUUGAAAUACAUGGGGAGUUUCUUUUUUCUCUCUUUCUCCUACUUAUCUUUACUUUUAUUCUUUAAAUUACAUUGGGACAAUGUAAAAUAAGUAGGGGGGAAGGAAACAUAAAUUGGUUCUAAUAUGAUUAUCUGUCAUCACUAUUUUUGCAUGUUUUUGGUAAAAGGUAAAAUUUUUCUUUUGAUAAAUUGGGAUGGUACACUUAUGGUUUGACCUAUUUAGCUAUUUAAUUCUUUACACAUGGAACUUUUCAAUAACCUAGACUUAGUGGGUAAGAAAUUUUUAGGAAUUAUAAGUUUGCUUGACUGCCUACUUUUUAUCAUAUGUCAAAUUUUUGAAUGUCAAAAAAAAAUACUCCUCUGAUACGAAUGUUAAGAGUGAAAAAUUGGGGUUUUACAUCGGGCUGAGUAACCAGAACAUGGUGCUUGGGUUGUCAUCAUGUCUCGCGUAAAAAGGUUCAUGUGGUUGCCCAAUUUCUUUGCACUCACUCCGCUAACAAGUUAUCAUGAGUAGGGCGAAAUAACCCGCUUAGAGACGUCCGAAUUGAGUAACCGGAAUAUGGUGCUUGGGUUGUCAUCAUGUCUCGCGUCAAAAAAUUUGAAAAUGCCCUAAGUACAAAAAUAAUAAAAUGAAAGGUAAGCCUAUCAAGCUCUCAUAAAUUCUGAAAUAUAUUUACUUACUUCUUAGGCUAGGCUAUUUGAGAUGUUAAUGUGCUAGGAUUAAAUUGUUGAAAUGUGCAAACCAUGGGGGUCAAGUCCUAUUUUGGAGAAAAUUUUUCCUUUUGCAGAUACAUACAAAAUGCUCGAGGACUAGCAUAAGCUAAGUGGGGGGAAUUGAUUAAAUACUAAAGUUACAUAUUUUAUGUAAUUAAUUUGGUUAAAUUAUGAAAGUGCACCACUAAUUUUGCCAUAUUUAUUGAAUUUUGUGCAGGAAUGCAAUUUGGGGCUAAAUAGAAGAAAAAGGAAACAAUUGGGCUAGAUUGAAGAAAGAAGCAAAGAAGGAGGGCCAAAGAAGAAUUUUUCCAAAAUUAAUUAGCUGAAAUUUUUGAGUUAGUGGGAGAAUAUUUUGGGAUUUAUUUUAUUAUGGGAUAUUUUUCCUUAAUUUCCUAUGACUAGUUAGCUCCUAAUUUAGUAAAUCCUCUAGUAUAAAUAGAGCUUGUAUUGUUCAUCAUUUCAUCAAUCAAAAAAAUAUUAAGCUCUUGUCUUUCAAUACAUUCUCUCUUUUCUCACAUAGCAUUGUUGUUUCUUUAGUUUCCUUUCCUUCAAUUUUUUCCAGUAGCUAAUCACCAAAUCAAGUAAUUUGCAAUUUCUUUUUUUUUUUCAAUUCUUUUCCAAAUAGUCAACCACCCCACUUUAAUAUAUUCCAACCCCCAUACUCAAUCACAUCACCCAUCUUUUCACCCAUUUACCUUAAUUAAUUUAUCAAAUACCAACAUGUCCCAAACCUUAGCCAACUAAACUCAUUUUCAGCUUUAGGCCGAAAUUAGCCUCGUCAAAACCCAUGAGUUACGAACCCGAGCCAUUUAACUCCUAAAAUUCCAGUACUUAUUACUUCUCCGGAUUAAGAGUGUGAUUUUGUCAGCUCAUAAAGUCAGAUAAACACUAAGUAAAAAAAGACGUCGUUUUAUUUAGUGUGGUUAGACGUAUAGUUGGAAUUCCGAAAGGAACGUUUCCAAUCGGUUUUCUGUGAACACAUUGACGUGCCAAGUGGAGAUUGCUGUUUGGUUCCGUCAAGGGAAGUAGUAACCGGAUUUAAAUGUCUCACGCGGUUGAGCACAUUGGUUCGAGCUAGGCUCUUCUAGAACGCAAAGCUGCCGGAGUUCUAAAUCACGAACGUUUCGUGGUUGUUCGAUUGGUAAGGGUUAGUUAUUGGACGUUCCAUAACUAAUUUACACAAGGAAGAGUUGGUGUCCGAGGUGUCCUUGGUAGCUAUAACUAGCUUAUUGGAAAAGAGGAGUUCAUCCAAUUUCGAGGAUCGGUUCAAAGACGAGGAAAAUUCGUGUCUAAAGCUGAGCUCAUUCUAAUUAAUUUUUCUUAAUAUUUAUUUCACGGUUUUUAUUAUUCUGUUUUCAACCUUUACUUUUGACGUUAUUUUUCUGUUAAUUUCAGGUUUUCAAAUUUUUAUCCCCCCGAACGUCUUGGGCACGACAGCUGCCCCGACAUAAAUUUGGUCAAGCGAGCAACAAUUUACAGUAAACCAGUCUCUGAGGGAUCGACCCUACUCCCUAUACUGCAUAAUUUGCAAAUUAAGGCGUAGGUUUAUAUUGGUGGAUUCGACACCCAUCAUAUAUCUUGGAAAUAUUCUGCUUUGGCCCUCCUACUUUGCUUCUUUCUUCAAUCUAGUCCAAUUGUUUCCUUUUCCUUCUAUUUAGCCCAAAAUUGCACCGCUGCACAAAAUUCAACAUAAACAUAGAAAAAAUCAGUGGUGCACUCUCAUAAAUUAACCAAUUUAAUUACAUAAAAUAUGUAAUUUUAGCAUUUAAUCAACCAAUUUUAUCCAUUCUAACUAGAAAUUCUAUCAAUCAAACCCUAAUUCAACAAUUUGUUCAACAUGAAUCAUAUUAAAAAAUCUAAUAACUUUCAAAAUUUUAACUUAAAUUCAACAAAACUUUGUUUUAAGACCUCUAAAACAUCAAAAUUAAAAGAAAAGGACUUGAUUAACUUACCAAAUUAAAGCUUAAAGCCUCAAACCCUAGUUUUUCCCUUUUCUUUUCUUUCCCCUUUCCUUUCUUUCUUUUUCAUCUAUUAUCUGUUUCUUCUUUCUAUUUUGUUUCCCUUUCAUUUCAUUUCAUUUUCUUUUAUUUGUUUUGUUUUGUUUUAAUUAUAAUAAUAUAAUAUAUAUUUACUUAAUUAAUAACCAAUACAUAUUUUAUUAUGAAAUACAUAUGUUUAUUAUUAUUACACAUGUAUUUACCAACACCACUCACUUGUCUAUUAUCAUCACCAUACACUUGUCUUAAUUUUAAUUUAUUCCAUAAUAUAAUAAUAUAAUUAAUAUAAUUAUAAUUUUUUAACACCCCAAACCCGUCCUGGACGUUAUGGCCAAAUCUGGCGAUGUCACAUAGAAGUGCAUUUGAAAACCGUAUCAUUGCUAAAAUCAUUAUCCGUUUAGAACUUAUCAUUAUCUUUCAUUAAUUCUCAAAUCGUGAUUCAUUUCCAAAACGCUAUACUUUGCGGAAGCUUUUAAAAUAGCUUGUGUGUGCGUGGUAUUUUGAUAAAACAUUCAUCUCUUUUAAAACCUGAGUUUUACCUACCUCUAGCAGAUAUAAACAGAAAAUAGUAGAAAAUCCAAAUUUUAGGUAAAAAAUCCAUAGAGGCCAUUAUUACAGAAAAAUACCCCAAAAUAAAACUUAAAAUUGUAAAUAAGUAUCAAAUAGAAAAAAUGAGUCGUGUGGCCACCGCUGAGUCCUCCACCACACCGAUCCACCUAUGUCUGGGGCUUACCUGUACAGAUUAAAUAGAAAGGGUAAGUUUACGUAAACUUAGUGUGUAAUCCCCAUGCAAACAAAUAGACAAUAACAGAUAAUCUCAGUUUGGGCCUAAGCCCUUUUCAGUAUCAGUAAGCAUUAGGGCCUUAGCCCAUCACAGUACAGUAACAGUGACAGUUAUGCGGUUAUAAAUCCUACCCAACCAGCCUCUACACUCCAUCUCCAUCCAACCCUACACUCUAUGUGGGGAUAUAAUCAACCCACCUAUCCCUACACUCCAAAUAGUACCGAAUGCGGCACUAAACAGUAGUUGCAGCUAAGCUGCCAGUAAGUUAGGCUUGAAGCCAUUCAGUACACUUCCUCCAAUCAAUAUAGUGUAUACAGCAUGCUCAACAUACAGACAUACAUAUCUAUCUUAUAUAGGCAUAUAACAGUCUUUCAAUCAUUUCAGUCAAUUAGGGGUCUAAGUAAACUUACCCACCCUACAGUAGGUUCACAGUCGACUUGGACGACCCGUGCAACCUUAGCAGUCAAUGAGUGAAAAUGGGCCCACAGGCCUAUGUUGCAUCCCAUGUAGGCCCACAUGCUCGUGUGGCCCACACGGCCCAAAAUGGCCUCGGCCGUAUGGAUCACACGGUCUAUCACAAUAUUCUUACAUGUCCGUGUGGUUUAUCUGUACGAGGCCCACACGCCCGUAUGGCCCAUACGGCGUAUUUCAGCUCAGCCCAUGAAUCGCAUAUAGCCGGCCUCGUUGAUCACAUGCUCAUGUUCGAUCACACGACCUACCACAUAGGCAGCCGCACACCCGUGUGACGUCGACAAUUACAUUUUUUGGCUUUUCGCCUAUUUCUGUUUUCAGAGUUGUGUUUACACACCUGGUUCGUUUGUGACGUUAAAACACUUCCAAGAUCCCCAGCACCUAUGGUCAACAACCAAACCCCACAAUCAGUCCUAAUUCCUAGUUAACUUGAAACCAAAAUAUUGACAAUGAUUCGUUCAAUCCAUUCGUUACCUACCUUUAAAACCGAGCAACCCCCAACUAUGGAUUCGAACGAGAUAGGUUACCACUCCCACAAUUCACUGCUGACAAAUCUGAUAGACCCAAUAAGACAACAAUUCACAUCUUCAUAGCUUAAAAGAAUAGAAAAGCUUCCCCUAAUUCACCAAACACAAUCACCUUACCUACUAAACGAAUGACGGCAGAACCACACCGCUCCAAUGCUAAUCGAUUCGUUCUGGCCCUUAACCUUCAACAAUGAAGCAGUCGACCUAUCACCAAAAAUCCAUAAACCAAAUAACACCACAGUUACAAAACUUACCACCAAUGCACAAAAACAAAACGGAGAUGACAAAUUGCGGCAAUAAAGAUUUGAGAAGGAAAUGGACUACUAAAAAAACCAAAGCAGGGAGAGAAGGAAAUUUUCAGCGGUAGUCGACAACAAACAAAAAGAGGAGAAAAGAAAGGCCAAUGGCAUAAUUCGCAGAGAGAAUAAUAGCCAGGUAAAAAAAUAGAGGAGGAAAAACAGUCGACUGCAAGGGAGAGAAAAGAAUCGGCAAAGAAAAUGAAGGGGAAGGAUGAAAAGAGGGAGAAGAUUCAACCAAGGGAGGAGGGGGACGUUUGCUCACCUUAAUUAACUCCCCCUAUCCCUAAAUUUGGGAAGCACAGAAUUCCACUCAAUUACCACUACCCCCUAAAUCCCUUAAUUAACUCCCCCUAUCCCUUAAUUUCACUCCCCAAUCGUCCACCACAAUCCCCUCAACCAUCGAAUUCAAACCCCACUCAAAACACCCUCACGACACAAGCAGUAAAAAUAAAUCUCAUGUUUGAGUAAGAACUUGAACUCCAAACCUCCUACUCAAUUGCAAUCCACUUAACCACCAAACCAACAAACUCAUUUUAAUGUAUUUUACCAAUAUUUAUUUAUAAGCCUACUGACUAGAGAUAGAGGUUUAUUCAUUUAAAAACAAAAAAUUUUCCCAAGCUAAUGCUUGAACUUGGGACCUCCCAAAUAUUCCCAAAAUACAUAGCUAUUAAAAUUGACAGAUAUUUUUGAUACAAAUAUACGAAAAUAAAUAUAUAAGAGAUUUUUGGGACGUUACAAAUUUUGAAUAAAUAAUAAUAUAUCUAAUUAAUUAACAUAAAUAUCUAAGAUUUUUAUACACAUUUGCCGCCUCAUUUAAUGGAAUAGGCUUAAUUGCCUAUUUAGUCCCUACUAUUUUCUUUUAAUCUAUAAUUAAACUUUUGCACCUUAUUCUAUUUAGUCCUUUUUCCUAAUUUCUCUUAUUUAAACUAAAUUCAUCCAAUUAAAACUUAAUCGGGCACAUCACUAGACUCAUAAUUACUCCUAAUAAUUAUUUACGGACUCGGUUUACUAAGACGAAGGCCCGAUAUUGCACUUUUUCGAUGCCCAUGAAUUUUGGGUCAUUACAUAUUGUAGAUAGACACUAAUCUUAGUUUAUGUAAUUCAAUCUAUACCGAAAGAUUUGGGUAUGCUUUUUAUGUCUACAAUUCUUUCGUGGGUAUGCUUAUAUUACUUUUUGUGUAGUGUCUUGUUUUACAUAGUUUAUAAUUGUCCCAACGAAUUUAAUUUAGAAUUUCUUUUUUUUUGUUUAUUCUGUGUGUUGUGUCAAUUUAUUUAUUUAUUUAUUUAAAAUGUUUUUUUUAUGUUCUAUUUUUUUUUCAUUUGUAAGCUUUUAUAAGAUUAUAUUUAUUUAUACAUUAAUACUUUUUCUUAUGUAAAAUUUUGUACGUUAACAUAUUUUUAUCGUAUUUACUUUAUUUUCCAUGACACGAUAUUUUUAAUUAUUUUUAAUACUUCUAUAUCAUGUUUUAAUUCGACAAUGUUCAUAGUUUUAUGAAAAUAAUUCUAUUUUAUUCUAAAUCAUGAUAAUGAUAUGGGCACCCAAACCGCAAACUUCACUACAAAACCCCAAAAACACAGAGAGCAAAGUCAAAACUCUUAACGAAAGACAUGAUGGAAUUGGCGAUGGAAACACAGAACAGAACAGCGACACCUUAAUUAAGUCCCCUACAUCAUUCUCUCAACAUAAACCAAAGGAUUAAGUCUCCAUUAGAAUAGGUUUUAUUUGUUUAUUCUCAUUUAUUUAUUUUGAUAAAUCAACAUAAACAACAACCCAAAUGUUGAUUUACAACCUUAACUUUAAGCAAUUAAACGAUAAGUCGGCUUUACAAGUAAAUGAUUAGCCCUCGGCAACGAAAGGCCGAACUUCUCGGUCAUGUCGAGUUCAAUAGGCAACAUCCCAUCAGGCAACUCCCAAUCAAAGCAAUGGGCUAAUUGAGCUAAAAUAAGACGCAUGCUGAUUAGAGCUAACUGCAUUCCGGGACAUCCUCUACGACCGGUUCCGAACGGAAUGAGUUCGAAAUCAUGCCCUCGAAGGUCUAUCUUCCUAUCCUUGAAUCUUUCUGGAAAGAACUCUUCGGCAUUGCUCGACCAUAUCUUGGGGUUUCGCCCCAUGGACCAAGUGUUCACCAAAAGCCGCGACUUCUUAGGUAUGAAAUACCCAUUAACGGUGACAUCUUCGGUCGACUCGUGCGGGACUAACAACGGUGCCGCCGGAUGCAACCUGAAACUCUCUUUGAUGACCAUAUCCAAAUAGGCAAGUUUCGGUAGGUCCGACUCUUCUACCAUUCUAUUCCUUCCGACAACACUUUCUAGCUCUUUCUGGAGAGCAACCAUGACUCGAGGAUGCUUUAGAAGUUCUGUAAAUGUCCACUCAAUGGCCGUGGAUGUAGUGUCGAAGGAAGCUGCCACCAUGUCCACCAUUAUAGCCUUGAUGUUUUCUCUACCAAUGAUGUAGGGUUGAUCUUUAUCGUUAGGGUUUAUGGGUGUAUCCAACAACGAAACCAUCACUUGAAAGAAACUUCUAUAAGGUUUUUGGUCAUCCAUGUUAAUCCCUUGUUGGUAUUCAUCUAUCAUUUUCUCAAAAAAUUCGUGAAGGCCACUACUCACCUUCUUAAGCCUUCUUGUAUAUCCCUGCAGCGUAAAGAUAGAUAUGAUAGAAUCAGUUUUAUAUUAAUUGUAUUUUUCAUUAUAAUUAUUCUUUGUGAAAAAACCAACGAGUCAUUCAACCAAAUAUUAAGACUUCCGAGUUUCACUCUGCAUCUUAUAAGAUUACUAUAACACAAUUUAUUAUGCUUUAAAAUUGGUAUUACUAUUAGUACGAAAAAAUAAAUAAAUUAUGAAAAAGAAAAAUAGUACAUAAAAAAACAGGAUAUAAGGAGGAAAAAAAAAACGUUACCUGAAGAUCAAGUGGAGCAAGGAAAGGCACAUAAUCCGAGAGAUUGAAAACCCCAGAUAAGUGCAGGGCCUCAUCAACCAGCGGCUUAAAAUAGAUUUUAUCAUCCAUGGACCGCCCGAAUAACACUUUCGACAUCAUUUCUUCAAGAACCUUAGCCACCGCCUGGCUAAGGUUUAUUGUUUCACCCGCCGCAGCUACCUUUCUCACUGAUUCAACCAAUAACCCCACCUCCGCCUUCCUUAUCGGGGCAAAGCAUUCAACUUUGGAAGCACUGAGGAAAUGCAAAAUACACCAUUUCCGUACAGUUCGCCAGUAAGAACCGUACUGGGUAAAACCAACGGCCUUGCCACCAUAUGCCAAGUAUUUCGCGGAUUGGACUUUAGGCCUGGAAGCAAAAACGACGUCAUGGACCUUGAGGAACAGUUCAGCGGCUUCGGGUGAUGAUACCACGAUGGUUGGUACUUUGCCUAGCAUUAUCGACAUGAUGGGUCCAUAUUUUUCGGCGAGAUAGUGAAGACUAUGGUGUGGGAGGUUCCCUAGCAUGUGGAUGUUACCUAUGAUGGGAAGAGGGGCAGGACCGGGUGGAAGUUUCCGGCCAUUUUUGUUGCGGUUUGGUGAGCUGAAGAAGUAGAUAAAGGAACAGAGAGUUCCAAGGAGGACGAAGAGUAAGGUUAAUGUUGAAGAAGACAUUUGGGAGGGAAGCCAAUCACAAUAGCUGGUAGUCAUUGGGGAUUGAUUGAUUGAGUACUUGUAGAUGGAAGCAACCGAUGGCAGCUGCAAGUCGGGAGAAUUCGCCAAAUAUGUCGAUUUAAAUAAAAUUAGGGAGUUCGACUUUUUUUUUUUUAAUGUAAGGAAAAAAGUUGAUUUUUGCGGGCUUAUUUUUCCAGUUGAAUUAUUUACAUGGUAAGAAAAUAUUCUUAUAAUUUUUAUUUUAUUUUUUAUGUUUGUAUAACCAAGAUGAAGAUUAAAUUAUUGAAAUUUAUAUACAAGCAAUUUAAGUGCAAGAGCACCACGUGUUAGUGAAUAAUACUUGAAAGAGGUGAGAUUCUUACACAUGUCUCAUAUGCUCAACGAGACUAAAUUGAAGUCUGCACUUAUCAGUGCUUUGUUGAGAAAUGGAGAUCCGAAACACAUAAAUUCCAUCUUUCGUGCAGAGAGUGUACGAUUACAUUUAAGGAUGUAUCAUUACAACUUGAUCUACCAAUUGAUGAGGCAGUCAUUACGGUUGGGGAUUGGAGGCCAAUUUGCCACCAGCUAUUAGGCAAGGUGUCAGGCAAGUUUAGUGGUAAUCAAAUAUAUAUGAAAUGGUUAGAAGAUAAUUUCUCACAUCACAAAACUCUUCUAGUGUAGUUGAAAGACAACAAUUAACUCGAGCAUUUAUACUAAGGUUAAUCGGGGGUCUUCUAAUGUCAUAUAAAUCUCAAAAUUUGGUAUAUUUAAGGGGACACCUAUAACUAAUUAACCUAAAAGAAACUGGGCAAGUCAGUUGGGGAUCAAUUGUCUUGGCUACAUUGUAUCGAAAGAUGUGUAGGACAACAGAAGCACAAAAAUUAAAAUCGGUGGUUGUAUAUUCCUUCAAUCAUGGGUAUAGUAUCGCUUACCAUUUUUACAUCCCGAGAAAACUCUCAUUAUCAAUUAUUACUCGUAAUAAGGUAACAUUCAUUUAAUAAUAUAGUUAUCAUAUUAUCUUUUUUUCAUUAUUAUAUUUUUGGAAUAACAUAUUAUUUGAAACUAAUAAACUUGAAGAUAUUUGGUUAUUGUUAAAUCAAUGGUUAAAAGUCGAGGUUAGUUUUUGAAUUUUUUUAGUUACAUAAUAAUUAUGUAAGGAUUUGAAAUUUAAUAUUAGGUAGGUAUGAAAUUUAUAAUUUCGUAUUAUAAUUUAGAUGGAUGUCAUACUCUGAUCCGAGAAUUGAAGAAUGUAUCCCGUUUAAAUUUUUGACGAAUCAUAAUAUUUGACACGUUAAAGUGUCAUUAAUAGUUUUUACAUUGUCUAUUUUUAAUAAAUAUAUUUGAAGUAAAUUUUUUUAUAUAUUCUAUUUGAACAUUUUUAGAUUUUAAAAAAAAAAUUAUACAUACUUUUCAUAUAUUUUUUUUAAAAAUUAGGACCAAAUUAAUAGAAUAUAAAAAUAUUGAUGGUUUAAUUUAUUAUUAUAUCAAUCAAAAUUAUUACAAUUGAUGGAAAAUAUUAUUUUUCAUGAUGGAAAACAAUUAUACAUACUUUUCAUCCACCUAAAUCUGCUGGUCUAUUUGCGAAGGCUUUCCUUCUUUUAGCUACAAUUGUAUUUAUUAAUUCAUAGAUUUGUCGGGAUAACAAAAAAAUUAUAAACAAUUAUAAUGAGCCAAUGGCCAUUACUUGCAGGGACCACUGGAUCAAUCACAAAUGCCGACACCUAAAAUCAUAUAGUUAUUUUGGAUAAAUCUAACGUGAUGUAAAGUAUAUAUAUUUAUAAAAUAUUAUAAAUUAUAAUAUCAUAUAAUAAAAUAAUAUAUGAAUUUUAAUUGUAUUGGGUAACAUGUAUUUGUUUUCAACAUACCAUAAUGGGAAGGAAAAUGUGGAUACAGAUAUAAGUUGGGCAAGAAGUUACAAGUGGUUCAACACGGCAUGAUUGCAUGAUGUGAGGGUGACAACUAACCAGGGGACAUGUCCAACCAGACGAUGGGUUAAAUUUAAUACGGAUAGAGUUGUAUCCAGAAAUAACUCAUUUGCGGGCAUUGGGGGAGUGUUUAGCGGUGCCGACAGCUAGUGGUGAGGUGGUUUUUCGAUGAAGUUAGGAAAUGAUUCAAUUUUCAAGAUUGAGGCGAGAGCCUUACUUAAAGGCCUACUUAUAUCAUGGAGAAAAGGUUAUCGACAGUUGGAAGUGGAAUGUGAUAAUACUCUCUUAGUUGAAUUGAUUUUAGCUGGCAGAGUUGCAGAUAGUCAUUUGACUGAAAUGCGCCUUAUCCAUCAUUUAUUGAGUUGGAAUUGGAAGAUCCUUGUUCCUCUUACUUCGAGGUCGCAAAAUACAGUAGUUGAUCAUAUGGCCAAGUGUAUGGCGACUAUUUCCACAUAAAUUCAUUGGUUUGAAGAACCACCGCAAUUAGCUAGAAGUUUAAUUGAGGCGGAUUAUGUUCUUACUUUGAGUCACUAGUGUCAUUUUUUGAGUUUUUCGCUUUAAGCUAUCUUUUUUCUACCAAAAAAAAUGUGUACAAUUACUUUACACUACAUGAAUUAUUGAGAGGAGAAAUUCAUAUUAGUUAUAUAUAUUAUAAUUUGUAUAUAAUAAAUAUUUUAAUAAUUGUUGCAUGUUAUAUUUAUGUAAUAUGGUAUGCAACCGUUUUUUUAUUGUUUAUGUCUAUUUACAAUUCAUAUUCAAGGUUCGUGUGGUUAUUCUUUCCAACAAAACUAUUUCUAAGGUCCAAAAAAAAUUUCAUAUUUGAAUUUAAAUGGAAAAUUGUUAUUAAAUAAAAGAUAAUUAUAAUUUCAUAGUUCAAAUUUAAAACUCAAUAUAUUUAUUUAUCAAUUUUUUUAAAUCUAAUAUUUAAAUAUAUCAAAUGGUUUAAACCAUUUAAUCUAAAUUUAGAUUAAAUAUUUUUAAAUAUAAAAACAUUAAUUAAUUGUAUAAAUUUUCAUCAUUUAAUAAAUCUAAAGUAAACCUUAAAUCCUAAACCAUUUAAUAUAUAUAAAAUUGAUCUAUUAUCUCUUAAAUAAUUUAAACUAUCUCCUAAACCCCUAUCUCCUAAACCCUACAUCAUAAAACAUAAACCCUAAACCCCUAACCCCUAACCCUUCUUUUACAAUUAUAUAAGAACUUAAUUAAUAUAUAAAUUAAAAAAUACUAAUUAAUCUAAACCUUAAACCCUAACCCGACCUCGAAUCUCUAAACCUUAAAUCACUAACUCUUAACCUCUAACUCUAACCCCAAAUCCCAAACCCCAAACCCCUAACUACUAACCCCUAAACCUUAUUUAAUAUAUAAAUUAAAAAACACUAAUUAAUCUAAACUCUAAACCGUAACCCGAAUCCCUAACCCUUAACCCCUAAAUCACAACCCUUAAACCAGAAUCCCUAAUUCCAUAAUCUAUAAACCUUAAAAUUGCAACUCCUAAACCGGCCUUAAAUCCUAAAUUAACCAUAUACCCUAAACCAUAUAUAUUAAACCCUAAACUAUAAUGAUAAUUAAUUAAAUAUUUUAAAAUUAAUACUAUUGUAUCUUUUACAAUUAUAUAUGAAAUUAUUUAAUAUAUAAAUUAAAAAUAAAUCAGUCAUGUACCCUAAAAAUUUUUAAAUUAUUUUAAAUAAUAGUAUUUUAAUUUUUUCCAUUUUUAACAAGUAUAUUUCUAUGUUUUUUUAUUUGAAAUUAUUUCUACGUGUCAUUAUUUCAAAUUUAACCUUUUUUAAAAAAUAUUCAAUUAAAAAUAAAUUGAAUUUUAAUUAAUAUAAAUAAACAAAUUAAAUAGUAAAUAGACAGAUAAAAUGCAUUAGCGGUGCUUUUUCAAAAACGCCGCUAAAAGUCUGAGCAUUAGCGGCGCUUUUUUAAAACGCCGCUAAAAGCAUGAGCAUUAGCAGUGCUUUCUAAAAAACGCCGCUAAAAGCCUGAGCAUUAGUGGCGCUUCUUCAAAAACGCCGCUAAAAGCCCCGAAAGGUUUGGACUUAGGUUUUUAGCGGCGGUUUUCGAGAAAACGCCGCUAAUGCUCGGUCUUUAGCGGCGUUUUAUGUAAAGCGCCGCUAAUACUUAAUUUUUAGCGGCGUUUUUUGUCCAAACGCCACUAAAAACGCCGCUAAAAGCCUAUUUUGGUGUAGUGUAUGCAACCACUUUUUUUUAUUACAAUUCAUAUUCAGGGUUCGUGGUUAUUCUUUUCAACAAGACUAUUUCUAAGGUUCAAAGUUGUAUCUCUAUUUAGGUAUGCAAAAUAUCUUACCAUUAGACCAAACACUUGAAUAAAUGAAAACUGUAUAACUAUAUAUUCCACUAAAAAAGUCAUCACUUGCUUUUCUUUUAAGGGUAAAGUACAAAAAUAUCACUAAACUAUUGACUUUAUUCUAUUUUGGUCAUUCAAUUAUUAAUGUAAUAGCCCGAUUUUCAAAAAUGUCGAAAACAGUGGUACGAGACCACCAAAUUCAGAAAAUAAGCUCGUAAAUUUUAUUAUCAAUAAUUACGAGCCAAAUAUGAUUUUUAAGAGAUUUUUAAAUUAGUAAUUUGUAUUUUAUAAAAAUUUAUUAAGUCAAGAAAUUGAGAAAAAGAGGUAUCGAGACUUCGAUAUUAUAAACCGAGCCGUAAAUAUUUUUAUAAAUAUUUACGGAGUGUCAAUAUGGUAGUGUUAAAGUUUCGUCAGAAAAUUUUAAUGUUUUGGCAGUUAAUUAAUUAAAAAGGACUAAAUUAAAAAGAUGCAAAACUUGCUAAAGUGAUUAAAUAGCUUAACAAUUAAAUAAGGAAGGAUUAAAAGAGAAAAUGGACCAAUUUAGGGGCUGGAUGACAUACCGUUAAAAAAAUCUAAGAUUUUAAUGUAUUAAGGACAAAAUUGGAAUUACAAUAAAGUUUAUGUGGCCAAAUUUUAUUUUAAGCAUUUCAAGACCAUUUCUUCUUGAAAUUUCGGGGGGAGACAGCCAUGGAAGAGGGUUUGGAGCUGGUAUUCCAUAUUUUGGCUUCAAGUAAGUUUAAUUCUUGCUUUGUCCUUGAAAUUUUUAUAUUUUUAGACUUUUACAAUUAGGUCCAACUUAGUAUUCUACUAGUUUCUCAUUUUGUUGAAAGUUUUGGAAGAUACUAAUGAUAAGUUCAUAUGAUUGUUGUUAUUUUGUGAUGAAAUUGAGAUGUUAAUGGAUGUUUAAAGGUGUUUUAUUAAAGAAUUUUAGAUGAAAACAUGUUUUAGGGAUUAAAUUGAAAAGUAUUGAAAUCAUGGAGAAAUUCUAAAAUUUCAUGGAAUCUAUGGGAUUUUAUUGAUAUGUAUGAGAAAUACUAGGCUUGAAUCAAGGAUUAUAUUGCAAGAAUUUCAUUUUCCAAGCCUAGGGACGAAAUUAUCAUGUAUUAAAAGUUUAGAGUCAAAUUGGUAAUCAAUAUAUUACACUAAACAGUUUUGGGCAGCAGCAGUGGUCUGACUUUGAAAAAUCACCAAAAAUUUUGGGAAUUGAAUUAGAGGGUGAAUAAAAUAUUAAAUUAAAGCUUAUUGAGUCUAGUUUCUCAUAGAAGAAACGGUGUAAGUAAUGAAAUUGUAAAUCAUGAGAUAUAAUAGAUUUUGUGAGACAAGGUCAGAAUGAAUUCGGGUUCCCCUGUUCUGAAUUUGGAAAAUCAUUAAAAAUUGUACAAAAAUGAUUAUGAGUUAUAAUUUAUAUGAUUAGAAUCCUUAAUGAGUCUAUUUUCAGAAGAAACCAAUAUAAAUAUCAUCCAAAUUCUGUACAAUGAGAUAAUUAAUUUUUAGUGAAGAGUGGUCGGAACUGUCAGACAGCAAAACAGGGGAAACUUUAAAGAAUAAACUGUACUAUUUGGCUGAACCAAAAAUUCUGAAAAUUUUAUGGUAAGAAGGUAUGUGAGUCUAGUUUCAGGGAAAAUUAACGGAUCUUAAUUUGGAGCUCUGUAGCUCCAGAUAAAAAUAAUUUAGUGACUCUGAUUCGGAUAAACAGCUUUGAAUAUACAUGUGAGUGAAUAGUGAAAUUAUAGCUAAUGUUGUUUAAGUGUGUUAUACACAAUAAGGAUGUGGAAUGGAGAGGAGCAGGAGGAAAAUUGGGAAGUAUAUGAAUGAUUUGUGUAUAAUUGGUCAUAUGCUUGAUUAUAAUUGAUAAACGAUGAAAUAGAAAUAAUGCUUAUAUUUGUGCAUUAUUGGUUUUGGUUUAAGCUCAUGUGUGAAAAUAAAGUUUCAUAGUAUGUGUGUAUCGUAUAUUCGGUAUAUGAUUUGGCAUGAAAUAAUUUCAUGAAUGGUUUAUCAUGUGGUUAGUUCCAAAAAGAGUUAUGUUUAAAUAUACUAGCUUGUGACUAUGGUUGAAUGAUAUGUUUAUAUCUUGUGUGAUGUGCAUAGGAAACAAGUGUGGUAAGAUAAUGAAAUAGUAAGUUCAUAUGACCGAAAUUUAAUGAUUAAAUGUUAAUUUCAUGAGUUAUGUAAUGUAUGAUGAGAUAUAUUUAUUGAUGAAAUGAGAAUAAAAUAAAAAUGCGAAAAUUGAAUAAAUGAUCAAAUUGAGCGGAACGCCGGAUUUGAGUACUUCUGAUCAAGUGACAAAGUGAUAAGUGAUAAGUGGCUACACUUAUCUGAUCAAGAAACAAAGUGAUAAGUGGCUACACUUAUCUGAUCAGGGACAAGUGAUAAGUGAUCAUACGUAAGACCAUAGUUAUACUAUGGCAAAGUGAAAGUGAAGUACUCAAUUUUCCGUAACCGUUCCCUAAUUUGAUUAAGGAUGGUAAGUGACAAAUGGGCCCAAAUGAAUUAAAGUAAAUGAAUAAGUGGUAGUGUAUUUAUACCAGGAUGAUGUUGUUAUUUAAGCUAAAGUGAUAUUUUCAUUGCAAAAUUAAGAAUUUCAUAAAUGUGUUAUUGAAUGAUAUAAUCGAUAAACGUUGAGUUAAAUGGUAAAUACGUAUUAGUGUUAAACUUAGGGACAUUGAAUUGUACGUGAAUUAAAUGGAAAUUGCUAGUGAUAUGAUCUAAAUUGUGAGCAUGAGAAAUUGCGAAUUAAAUGAAAUGGAAAUGAAGCAUUGAAUUGUAUGAGUAUGUACCGGGUCUCGUAGGCCCUAAUUAUUAUGAUUAUAAUAUUUUGAGGAUAUAUUGUGAAAAGUUAUAGAAGCAUUCUAAUUAUUUUGAAAGUUUUAAUUUAGUUGAAAUUUUAUAACUCGGUUAAAUACGUUAACAAGUGUAUGUAUUUUGGUAAUGCCUCGUACCCUAUUCCGGUGUUGGAUACGGGUAAGGGGUGUUACAAUUAAUUUUUCUUAUUUAAUCACUAAGCUUUUCAAAAUUAGAUAUUUUGAUCAUUCUCAUGUUAGUUACCAUUAGAUGAGUAACGAAAAAUUGACGUGAACCUUUUUUUUUUGGUCUAAUAAUAAAUUUAACAUUCUCAUGUUUACACAUUCUAUCAAUUUGAUCUCAAAUAUAAAAAAAAUCAACAAAUUUAGCCUUUAAUGUUUGCAGAAUUUGUCAUUUUAGUUCAAAUUCUAAAAAAUUCAAUAAAUUUAGCUCUCAACAUAUACAAAAGGUCAAGUUUUGAUUUUUAAAAAUUUACCCUAAACUUUUAGUGGUCGGAUCUCUUUUGUCAAUGUCAAGUUUAUAUAUGUAAAAUAUUAUCCUAAACAUUGAGGGUUAAAUUUAUUAAAUUUUUUAAUAUUUAGGAUCAAAUUAAUAAAAUGUGUAAAUAUUAGAUAGCUAAAUUUGUUAUUAGACCAAUAAAUAAAACUUGCAUUAGCUUUCCACUACUCAUCUAACGGUAACUAAUGGGAGAGUGACUAAAAUAUUUAAUUUUGAAAAGUUUAGUUACUAAAUUGAAAAAAUUAAUAAUUGAGAGAUCAAAAUAGAUCAAAGUUAAUUGUUUAGUGACUACCCUUUUUAAAUGAGGCAAGAAUUCACCUUUUAAUACAUAACCUUCCAUGUUGCUUUUACGGUUAUUUUUUAUGCAUUUAGAAUAAUAUAAAUUUAUAUAAAAGAACAUUAAUAAGUAAUCAUUACUGAAAAUCAUUAAAAUUAUAUAAUAUUCAAAAAUAAAUAAAUUUUGAAUUAUAUCAUAAAUAUUUGAUAGUAGAAUUUUAUUUAAUUUGUAGGUGUAUAUUAAUAAUAGAUAAAAUUAAUUGUGAUUUUAAUUUAUUCAGAUUAUUAAAAUAACUAUUAAUUUUUAAAAUUAAUGUUAAAACAUUAAUUUCAAGUUUUAGCUUUAAUAUUAAAAACUAUUUUUUAACAUUUUAUAUUUCAAUUUUUUUAAAUUUAAAAUCAAAUAAAAAUAUUAUUAAUUGUAAAAAAUAGAAUGUCGAUAAUGACAAUUUAUCGCAAAGAAAAGAGAAAUAAAAAUAAAAACACACAAAUUUUACGUGGAAACCCUUUAGGGAAAAAAACCACGGGUAGAGGAAAAGAUAAUUCACUAUGUCGAAUUCGAAUAAUUACAAGAGGAAUAGACUAUGUCUAUUUAUAGGCUUGUAAAACCAUAUUCUAAUAGGAAUGUAGUAAGAUUGAAACAUGUUAUUCUAAUCAAUAUAAAAUAGAUGGAGUUUAAUAAGGUUUAAAAAUCCUUAUUCUAAAAUAAAAUAAAAGAAGUAUAGUUCUAUAGGGAUUUUACUUUUAUUUUAUUUUACUACUGUAUCUUAUUUAAAUAAGGAUUCGGGUCACUUAAUUCUAACAAUCUCCACCUUGAUACGAAUUCUCAAUGAACAAGUUCUUCAUCGCGAACUCUCAACGAACAAGUUUUCUACCUCUUCCAUAAAACCCCUUAAGGAUUUAACUUCAACAUUGAACACCAAUCAAGUCUAAGCAAUGCUCAAACUUGGUUAUAGGAAGUGACUUAGUCAUCAUAUCUGCAGGAUUUUCAUGAGUACUAAUUUUGCUCACAACAAUAUCACCACGAGCAAUAAUAUCACGAACAAAAUGAUACCGAAUAUCAAUGUGUUUUGUUCUCUCAUGAAACAUUUGAUAUUUUGUAAGGAAGAUGACACUCUGACUCUCACAAAAUACUGUAUAGAUUUGAAGGUCUUCAUUGAGUUCGCUAAAGAGUCCAUUCAACCAAAUAGCUUGUAACACCCCUUACCCAUAUUCGACACCAGAAUAGGGUACGAGGCAUUACCAGAACACAUACACUUGUAAACGUAUUGAACCGAGUUAUAAAAUUCCAUUAAUUAUUAAAACUUUAAAAUUAUUAACAUACUUUUAUAAUUCUUCACAAUAUAAAUAAUGCAACAUUUCCUACCAACCAUAAUCGAGCUUCUGAUAAUCAUCUCACUGCAUCUAAUAAUUGCAUAUAUUACCAAUAAUAAUUCAAUUUCAAUAAUAAAACACAUAUCUAUAUAAUAUUCAUCAUCAAAUAACAUUCACUUUAAUUAAAAUUAUACAGAAUAUAGUUCAUACGAACUUACCAGGCUAAAUUGUAGAAAUACCAAAAUUUAGGGACAUUUUGGUAAUUUUCUAUUUUCUCAAAUUUCCACCCAAUCUUGAUCUAAAUUAAUAUUUCAUUCAAUUUACUAAUUUAAAUACUAAAACAAUUCAUUUUAUGCAAUUUGGUCACUUUUUGACAUUUUUACAAAUUUACCCUUAAAGUUUCACAUUUGUUCAAUUUAGUCCCUGAACCUAAAACAUGUAAAUUGGUCAUUUUUAAUGAAAACUCAUGCUAGUUUAAUUAUCAUAUAUUUUCCUCCUCCUCCUCUCCAUUCCACAUCCUUAAUGUAUAUAACAUGCUUAUAGGUAACAUUAGCUAUAAUUUCACCAUUUACUUAUAUAUUCAUUCAAAGUUGUCCACUUGCGUCAUAGUCACUAAAUUAUUUAUAUCUUGAGAUACAGAACUCCAAAUUAAGAUCCGUUAAUUUUAUUUAAAACUAGACUCACAUAUCUUCUUACCAUAAAAUUUUAAGAAUUUUUGAUUUAGCGAAUAAGUACAUUUUAUUCUUUAAAGUCAUCCCUGUUCUGCUGUCUGAUAGUCCCGACCCUUCUUCAUUAAAAAUUAAUUAUAUCCUCAUAUAGAAUUAUAAUGAUGUUAACAUUUGUUUAUAUUGAAAAUAUACUCAUUAAGGAUUUAAAAAUAUAAAUUUAAGCCUCUAAUUAUUUUUCUCCAAUUUUUGAUGAUUUUCCAAAGUCAGUACAGGGAAACCCAAAAUCAUUCUGACCUUAUCUCAUAAAACCUAUUAUAUCUCAUAAUUUACAAUUACAUUUCUUACACCGUUUCUUCUAUGAGAAACUAGACUCAAUAAGAUUUAAUUUCAUAUUUUUUUCAUCCUUUAAUUCCAUUUAUACAAUUUUUGAUAGAUUUUCAAAGUCAGACUUCUGCUGCUGUCUCAAAAAUGUUUUAGUGUAAAAUGUUGAUAACUAAAGUUAUAACACUUUCCUUUCCUUUCUCUUCAAUAUUUUCCAUCACUUUCUCUUAUUUCCCUUUACUAACAUAACAAGAAUAUAGAACCUUAUAUAAUGAAACUCUACCUUAACAUUAAUUUCCUACUUUUUCAAUAAUAUCAAACUCAAAAGUAUAUAAAAAUCUUGAUGUUCUUACCUUAUGCCAUUGAUUUCAAUCUUUAACUUGAUUUUCUCCCUCCUCCAGCUUCUAUUUCUUGAAUCUAACUUGAUAUUCUAGCUCCCCAUAGUCUCCUUGUUAUCUUUCUCUCUUGAUGAAUAUGGAAAUUCUUUUGAUUUCUAAGUGAAAAUGGUGAGUUUUUGGUAAAAGGACCAAAUUGUAAAGAAAAGAAAGUUUCUCUCUUUCUUUUCUCUUCAUACGUUAGUUGCAUGGGAAAGAAGAUGAUGAUUCUUCAUCUUUUCUUCCAUAUAUAUACACUAAAUAAAAUAAUAAUAAAAUAAUAAAAUAUCAUUUAAAAAUCAAAUUAAAAUAUUAAUAAACUAAUAUUUAUUUAUUUAAUCUAAAAUAUCUUUAACAUCAUCAUUAUUUUCUAGAUUUCUCUUUCUUCUAAUUGACCAUUUUGCCCUUUAGAUCUUUUAAAAUUCCAUCCUUGAGUCAUCACUUAAUUUGGUAAAAUUACAAUUUAGUCCCUCAUAAUUCUUCAUCUAUUCAAUUUGGUCCCAAUUCAUCCAUCUUCCUUAGUUUCUAGAUUAUUCCACCCUUAAAAUAUUUACACUAUUGGUCCUUUAAAUUUUUUAUAUUUACACUUUAACCCUUCAAAUUUUACGUAUUUACUUUUGGGUAACAAAACUUUUCUCACUUUUGCAAUUUAAUCCUUUCUUGAAUUUAUAUGUCAUAAUAUACUUUCGAAUGUUGACAUAACUCAAUUACCUUUUUUUAUCACUUUAUUUCCUUGUCGGAUUUGUGAUCCCGAAAUCACUGUUCCAUCUAGACCCAAAAUCGGGCUGUUACAUAGCUUCUUUACGAGCCUUAGUAAUCGCCAUGUACUCAGCUUCAGUGGUAGACAAAGCAACUAUAGUUUGCAAAGUGGCUUUCCAACUGAUUGCACAACAUCCGAUUGUAAAGACAUAACCUGUGAGAGAUCUUCUUCUAUCAAGGUUUCCAGCAAAGUCAGCAUCAACAUACCCAAUGACUCUAUCUCUAGUUCUUCAAAUCUAUAAUCAAACAUCAGUAGUACCUCAUAAGUAUCUUAAAAUCCACUGAACUGCUUUCCAAUGUUCUUUACCGGGAUUCACCAUGUAUCUACUAACUGCACUGACUGCAUAUGAUAAAUUUGGACGUGAACAAACCAUAACAUACAUGAGAGAUCCCACUGCACUAGAGUAUGAAACAUGUGACAUGUACUCAAUCUCAUUAUCUGAUUGUGGAAACAAAGCUGAUGAAAGUCUAAAAUGGGCUGCUAAAGGAGUACUAACAGCCUUAGCAUUCUUCAUAUUGAAUCUACAAAGAACUUUCUCAAUGUACCCCUUCUGACCAAGAAGAUCAUGAUUGUAAAUUCUGAAAAGGUCCCAAUUGAGGGAGUAGUACAAUGAGUUAAGUUACAGAUCGGUCAAUGGAAAGGCAAAAAAGACUUGAAGCUCAUCUACUUGAAGUCUUAGUGUCCUAGUGAAAUACUCCCGUAAAACUAAAGUUACCAAGGUAAUUAUUGUAAAUCCUAAAAGAUAGAUAUGUAUAGAGUUUAAAACCCUUAGGACUCUCAUCUUGUAGAUAGACACUAAUCUUAGUUGAUGUAAUUCAAUCUAUACCGAUGGAUUUGGGGGGAGAUCAACUAUAAAUAGAGAUCUUCUCCCUUAUUUAUAAUCAUCUCUUUGUAUUUUGUUCUUGAAUUAAAGAAUACUUUUGAGAGCAUUUACUCAAACACGUAGUGUGUACUCUUUUUUUAUGGCUAUUCUGUUCAUUCGUGGCUUUUUUCUCUUUCAAGAUUAUUUUCGUUUUUUUUUCAGUGGCUUAAAGGAUUUUAGAAAGAAUUCUCACUUUUCAAGAGUUAGACUGACUUAGGAAGAUUUAAAUAAAAGAAAUCGCCUAAAAUUACACGGUUUUCCAGACUAGAGUUCUAGCCCUAAGACAUAUGGAGGUCUCCAUAUUGCUUUUACCGUUACUUUUUAUACAAUUAUAAAGUUAUAAAUUUAUAUAAAAACUAGUUUUUAAUAGUUGUGUGGUGCACAUUAAUAUACGUAUUGUCGAAACCAUUUUUUUGAAAAACGGGGUCGACCUUUUUUGAAAACGAAAAUUAAAACGAGAGUCGCCACCAAUCCUUUUUAUUUAAGUGUGAUCGGAUCACCUCAUAAUUUAAUUAUUUUAAUAAAAUUUUAAAUUUACUAAAACAAUAAUUUUUUUGGUCUACAAAAUCCAGAAAACGGGUUCGGGAGUCGAUUAUGCACGAGGAAGGACUAGCACCCUCGAUAUGUCCAAAAUUGGUACCAGUUGAUUACUUUAUGUCUUAAUGUCGAAAGUUAAAAUUUUAAAAAGAUUUUAAAAUACGAUCCCUUUUUUAUUAAUGUUAAUAAAACUUGAAUAAAUCGAAAAGAGAGUUAAAGACCCACUCGUCCCAAGGUAACUAAAUACCACAUCCCGUAAGUUAGGAUACGAUAUUUAGGACCUUUGAGAAUAAGCUCGCCUUUAAUUUUUAUUAAUUUUUUUUAUUUUAAAAUUUUAAAAGGAUAUUUUACUAUUUAGGUUUAACGAGGAAACCAAAACCCCGUAAGUUAGGGUACGGUUUCUCGAAUUCCCAAAAGCGCGAAAUAUUACCUUAUUAUUUUUUUUAAAAAUUUUCUUAUUACGAAUUGGAACAAGAAUUAAUGCAAUAUCUAAUAAGAUAUAUGUUUAAUUUAUUCGAAUGUAGUGUGAAAGCGAACAAAUAUAUAUAUUGUUGACACCAUUUUUUGAUAAAACGGGGUCGACUCGGGUUUUGAAAAACGAAAACGAAAACGGGAGUCGCACCAAUCCUUUUUGAUGAGGUGUGAUCGGAUCUCCUCGUAAAGUGGUUGUUUUUAAUAAAUAAUUUAAUUUUAUUAAAACAACGAUUUUGGUCUACAAAAUUUAGAAAAAUGGGUUCGGGAAUCGAUUAUGUACGAGGAAGGAUUAGCACCCCCGUAACGCCCAAAAUUGAUACCUAAUUGAUUAGUUAAGGUCUUAAUGUCAAAAAUUGAAAACUUUGAAGAAUUUUAAAAAUACGAUACUUGUAUUAAAAUGUUGAAAAUCUUCGAAAAAGUGGCAUAUUUCACGUUAAUCGAGAAAGAAAAUCAUAUCCAGUAAGUUAGGACACAAUGUUUCAAAUUCCCAAUACGCAAAUGUAUGCUAAAAAUUUGCUUAUUUAAAAGAUUAUCUCGGAUUUUAGAAAAAAGAGAUCAGGCCCAAUAAGUUAAGACUUGAUCUUUUCUUAAUUUCCGAAGUCGUUAAAGCUUGGUUUAAAAAAAAACUUGUGUUUUUAGAUUCAUCGUGAAAAUUAAAACCCAGUAAGUUAGGGUACGAUCUUCUUGAAUUUCCAAAUGCAAAAUACUGCCUUCAUUAUUUUUUAGAAAAAAUCCUCAUCUCGAGAAAACAACGUGUCAUAUCCAAUGCGUUAGGACACAACGUAUUUAGAUUCAACGAGUAAUCUCAUUUUUAUUAUUAUUUUUUAAAAGAGUAAUCUCGUUUAUUUAGAUUCAACGAAGAAAAUCGGAACCCAAUACGUUAUGGCUCGAUUCUUUCGAAGAUCCCAAAUAUCGAGUAUUACUUAUAUUUUUAAAAUUUAUUUUCUUACAAAUUUAAAGAAAAAAAUCAAUGUAAUGUUAAAAAUAACAAUAAUGAAUACGACAAUGUGGACAUAGAUAAUACGAGCAACCGCAAUAAAGAGGAAAAAAAAAGACAAAUCGAUUAAAUAUAAAAUAACAAGUAAAUAAGCAAAUAAAAUUUAAACAUUCUCUCAAAAUAAUGAUGACAAUGUAAAUAAAUAAAUGAAUAAAAAUAUGAAAAUAUAAAAAAGAUAUAUAAAUAUGUAUAUAUAUGUACGUGUUUAUGAAAAUAAAAUGGGUAUUUAGAUAUAUAUAGAUAUGUAUUAAAAUAUAUAAAAAAUAUAUAAAUGCACAUACAAAUAUAAAUAAGUUACAAAAAUAUAUGUAUGUAUGUUUAUAUAGACAUAUUAUAAAAAUGCAUGUGUAUAUAUAAAAAUUAUGAAAUGUAUGAAAAUAUACGAGUAUGUAAAUAAAUGUAUUUUGAAGCUACAAAAUAGGUAAAACAUAUGAAAUAUAAAAUAUUCACAUGAACGUAUAUUAAAAAUAUAUGUAUAUAUGUAUUUCGAAAUUAUAUAAAAAAAUGCAAAAGAUAUAUGCAUGGGUGGUAAUAUACGUGUAUAUAUAUAUAAGUAUAGAACAUAAAAAUACAAACAUGUUUGUAUGUGCAUGUAUAUAUAAUGAAGCUUGGGAUCAAAAGUAUAUAUAAAUACAUGGUGAUAAUAAUAAAUAAGAAAUACAAUAAAUAAUCAUGCAUGAACAAUAAUAUUAAAUUGAUAAAUGAGAAUAAUAAUAAUAAUAAUAAUAAUAAUAAUAAUAGAAGUAAAAAUAUAUAAAAUAAAAGUAAGUAAUAGUAACAACAGUAUUAAACAUAAUGAUAAUAGUAAAAAUAAUGAUAACAUUAUUAAAAUUAAUUAAUAGCAACAAUAGACAGAAGAGGGACUAAUUUGAACUUAAGACAGAACUUCGGGGGAGAAAUCCAUAAAUAAAUAAGGGAGAGGACCCUCUGAACACGGGUGUAUUGUGGGGGGACUAAAAUAAAAAUUUUCCCUCUCCCCCAAAACGGUGCAGUUCAAUCAAGGACCAAAAUGAAAUAGCAAUAAAAUAUGGGGUGCAAUUUUAAAAGACCAAAGAGACUUGAUUGCAAAGUAUAGAAAAAGAGGAGGGGCUAAAACGACAAAUAACCCAACGCUCGAAACGCGCGGAUCCUGGGGUGAAACGACAUCGUUUUAGGGCUACUGUGGUCAGCCCGAAACGACGUCGUUUAGUCCGUCUAUAUAACUCAAAAUUUUUUUAAAAAAAACUUCAGUUCUUUGCUCUUCAGAAAAAAAAUGAGAGUUUUUCUCUCAAAAGCCCCUCUCCCCCGGUCCUAGCUCCGACCGAUAGUCACCUUGCCGGACCCCGGUCGCUGGCGCCAGCGCCACCGCGCACGGUGGCCGGCGAAGGUAAUAAGGGUGUUUUUUAUAUCUCGCCCCCCUAAGCCCAAAUCUGGCCUUAAAAUGCCCAAAAAGCAAAAGAAAAAGGACCACCAGCCUUCUCAACGACCGAUUCUGUCACCGGAGACGAAGCCUCUGACGACAAGGACACGGAACGACUCCGGUGAGUUCCUCUUCCCCUUUCUUUUUGUUUUAUUUUAGUAUAUAAAAACGAAAGCAAAAAAAGAAAAAAUAUCAGUAAACAAAUAUUAUGAAAACUUCAAAGUUUCUUUUCUUUUAUUUCCGAUUUUAUUGUAUCAUCCCCCCCGAAGAGAGAGCUUUACAAUUGGUUUUUGCUUGGCUUUUAUAGCUAUUUUUGUUACAAUAUUUUUGCUUUUGUUGUUACUAUUUGCCACUGUUUCGUUUCUGCUUUGCGUGUUUCCUCUAGUUUACAGGGUUGCUGGAGCAGGUGGGCAGAGGGCAGGUGCGGCGCUGGAUGUGACGGAGGCACAGAAGACCGAGGGUCAGAAGACCCUAGGUGCGGCGCCUAGGGUUCUUUUGUUUUCUGCUAGGGCUUUUCAUUGUAAUGGGUUUUGGGCUUAUUUGUUUUCUCUGGUGGACCGGGCAAAUUUGGGCUUCUACAUAUAUAUUUUAAAAACGUAAUGUAUAAUACGAUAAUAACGAAAUAAUGGAAGAUAACUAUAUGAGUAAAAUAUUUAAAAGGUAAAUAACAAGUAAUGGAAUACAAUAAUAAUGAUGAUGUGAUUAUAAUAACACCAAAUAAUAACAAUAAUCAUAUUAACUAUUAUUCUAAUGCUAAAACAAUAGAAAUGAAUUAAACAUUAAUAAUGAUGAUAAUGAAAUAAUAAUGAAAUGUGUAAGUAAAGAAGUAAACAACACUAUAAAUUCUAAUUACAAGAAAAAUAAAAAUAAAAUAAAAAAUAUACGAAUGAAUAUGCGAAUAAAUAAAUAAAACAAAAAAGAGUAAAUAAAUAAUAAAAGCUUGAAAUUAAACAACGAAGGAUUAAAUUGGGAUUAAAAUAAAAUUUAGAGUCAAAAUUAUGAUGAAAUAGGUGAAUAAACAUAAAAGGGACUAAAUCGGAGCUUGAAUGGGAUUUAAAGGCAUAAAUUACAAAUAAAAAAGGGAGAAGGGGCAAACUAAAACGAGCUGAAAAAGGGUGAGGACUAGAUGGGAAAUUAUUCCUAGUCCUUUGGAGCGCACCGUUUCAAUUUGGACCGAAAUGAAUAAAAAUGAAAUUAUGCCGCAAAAUGUAAGAAAGAAAAAAAGUUUAGGACUAAAUUGCAAAGUCGCGAAAAAGAGGAAGGGCCAUAUGCGAAAUUACCCCUUCAACGCAGAAACACGCGGAUCUUGAGGGCCAACAGGUUGGUUUUCGGGUCUGCGGCCAAAACGAUGUCAUUUUGGCCUCUAGGCUCACUCCUCAAAACGGCGUCGUUUCAUGUCUUUACUUAAACUAAUUUUUUUUCUCAAAAUUUCAUUUUUUUUCAAUGUUUAAAAAAAACUUCAAAAACCUCCCAUCUCUCUCAAAAAACUCUCCCCCCAUUCGGCCGAUGGUCUCCCUCGACCUCCGUCGCGCCACCGCUGUGGCCAGCAACCGGCACUGGAAAAAUGGGCCCCUUAGCCCUUGUUGUACGGCGUCCUUGAGAGCUAAGCUCUCUCAACCCGCGAGGAUAAAAAAAAAACAGGGGAGACUCUCGACGCCUUCGGACCCGAAUUGGGUGAUGAAGGAGAAGCCCUCUGACAGCGCGGCCACGGUCGUCUCCGGUGAGUCUCCUUUUCCCCCUUUUUUAUUUUUAUUACUUAGUAUGUAAAAAAUAACAAUAAAGUAAAAAGGAUAAAUAAUGAGAAUUGAACUUGAAAGUAAAAAGAAAAUCACCUCUCAAAUAUGUUCUGUUUUCGUUUUUUUUAAUGUUCGUAAAAAAGAAAAAAAUUACAGAGAUAAAAUUCGGCUUUUAUAGCCGAUUUGAAAAACCCCUAGUUUUCUAUUUUUUUGUCGUUUUGCAAUUUGGCUUUUUCUUUCUGUUGCGUGUUCAUUUGUUUUGCAGGUGUCAGACGCGUGAGGAGGCGUGCGGCGGCCAGGGGCAAAAGACCUAAGUGCGGUGCACCUAGGGUUGGCAAUCUUUUGUUUUCUUUCUGUUAAGGGUAUUGGGUUAGGGUUAGGCAUUUUUGUAUUGGGCUUAAGUCUAAUGAAUUGGGUUUAAUGUUUUCAUUUUGGUGUUUGGUUUUGUUUGGGCCAUAUUGGGCCCCAAGCAAAAAUGGGCUUGUACACGUAUUUAUAUUUUUAUUCUUUAAUAAAUUGUUUUAUUUCAUAUACUUGCUACAAGUAAUUAUUACUGAAAAUUAUUAAAAUAUAUAAUUUUAAAAAAUAAAUUAAUUUUAAAUUAUACUAUAAGUAAUUGAUAUUAGAAUUUGAUUUUAUUUGUAUGUGUGCAGUGUGCACUAAUAAUAGAUAAAUUAAUUGUGAUUUAAAUUUAUUGAAAUUAUUGAAAUAACUACUAAUUUUUAAAAUUAACGUUAAAACAUUAAUUUCAAAUUUUAGUUUUAAUAUUAAGUGGGUAUUUUUUAACAUUUCAUAUUUCAAUUUUUUUUCUAAUUUAAAAUCAAAUAACAAUAUUAUUAAUUAAAAAAUGAAUUCAAAUUGUAUCAAAUAUAAUUAAAUUAAACUUUAUGAAUCUUGUUCAAAAUCAAUUUAUCUAAGUGGGAAGAGAUUAUCAUAACAUAUUUUUCAAUAAAACAACAAUUGAGAUUGAAUCAUAUAAUUGUAUUAUAAAAAUAUUAUGGAAUAAAUUAAACACUAAUUAGAAAACUUAAACUUUCUAAAAAUAAUUAAAAUAAAAUUAUAUUUAGAAAAAAAAUUAAAAAAUCUAAAUUCCUUAAAAAUUAAAAUAAAAUCUAAUUUAAAAAUAAAUACUUAAAUAUUAGUAAUAUAUUUAAAUUUUCUAUAUUAAUCUUUUUCUUCAAUUGAUUUCUUUUAGACAAAUCUAAUUUAUCAAUGCCAAUAACCUUUUUAUUUUUUUAUGUGAUUAUGGAAAUCACUAUGAUAAUUGAAUUCAACCAAAUCACAAGACAUGUUAGGUUUAUAGAAUCAAAAGUGUAAAUAAAUAUUAUAUAUGGAUAUAAAAAACAAAAUUGAGAAAAUAAAACCUAUCAUCCAUUCUAAAAAUAGUUUUGAUCCCGUCACCUUUAAGCCUCGUUUAAUGCCCAUGGAGUUGCAUGAAUAAUGUUGGUGUAAUUUAAAUGUUAUUGUUUGAAAAUACUUAAUAUUGAAUGCUAUUUAUAAUUGUAACUUUUAAUUUUAAUUAGGAUAUGGAGAUGUCAUUAAUUUAACAAUAAGUAAUUAAAAAUGAUAUCAUUUACGGAUCAAGAAAUCAUAGGAGGGAUGGCUAGAAAAUAAUUAAACUAAAAAAAAAAAAAGGAAAAAGAAAAAAGCUUAUCAGCCUUUGUUGAUAAGGAAAAUUUGCCACAAACUUGAACAAGUAGAUUAAUUUGUCUCAUUCUAAGAACACACCUGGUUCGUUUGUGAAGUAAAAACACUUCCAAGAUCCCCAGCACCUAUGGUCAACAACCAAACCCCACAAUCAGUCCUAAUUCCUAGUUAACUUGAAAUCAAAAUAUUGACAAUGAUUCGUUCAAUCCAUUCGUCACCUACCUUCAAAACCGAGCAACCCCCAACUAUGGAUCCGAACGAGAUAGGUCACCACUCUCACAAUUCGUUACUGACAAAUCUGAAAGACCCAAUAAGACAACAAUUCACAUCUUCAUAGCUUAAAAGAAUAGAAAAGCUUCCCUUAAUUCACCAAACACAAUCACCUUACCUACUAAACGAGUGACGACAUAACCAGACCGCUCCUAUGCUAACCGAAUCGUUCUGGCCCUUAACCUUCAACAAUGAAACAGUCGACCUAUCACCAAAAAUCCAUAAACUAAAUAACACCACAGUUACAAAACUUACAACCAACGCGCAAAGACAAAACGGAGAUGACAAAUUGCGGCAACAAGAAUUUUAGAAGGAAAUGGACUACUAGAAAAAUCAAAGUAGGGAGAGAAUGAAAUUUUAGCAGUAGUCAACAACAAAUAAAAAGAUGAGAAAAGAAAGGCCAAGGGCACAAUUCGUAGAGAGAAUAAUAGCUAGGUAAAAAAAUAAAGGAGGAAAAACAGUUGGCUGCAAAGGAGAGAUAAGAAUCGGCAAAGAAAAUGAAGGGGAAGGAUAAAAAGAGAAGAUUCGACUAAGGGAGGAGGAGGAGGUUUGUUCACCUUUUUCUCUGAAAAGUAAAAAUUUGGGAAGCACAGAAUUCCACUCAAUCACCACUACCCCCUAAAUCCCUUGAUUAACUCCCCCUAUCCCUAAUUUCACUCCCCAACCGUCCACUACAAUCCCCUCAACCACCAAAUUCAAAUCCCACUCAAACUCUUCGGUCAAACUACAACACCCUCACGGCACAAGCAGUAAAAAUAAAUCCCAUGUUUGCACAAAGACUUGAACUCCAAACCUUCUACUUAAUUACACUCCACUUAACCACCAGACCAGUAAACCCAUUUUUACAUAUUUUACCAAUAUUUAUUUAUAAGCCUACUGACUAGAGAUAGAUGUUUAAUCAUUUAAAAACAAAAAAUUUGACCAAGCUAAUGCUUGAACUUGGGACCUCUCAAACACUCCCAGAACACAUAAUCAUAAAAACUAAUAGAUAUUUAUUUUACAAACAUACGAAAAUAAAUAUAUAAGGGAUUUUUGGGGCAUUACAAAUUUUGAAUAAAUAAUAAUAUAUCUAAUUAAUUAACAUAAAUAUCUAAGAUUUUUAUACACAUUGAUGGUCUCAUUUAAUGGAAUAGGCUUAAUUGCCUAUUUAGUCCCUAUUAUUUUCUUUUAAUCUAUAAUUAAACUUUUACACCUUAUUCUAUUUAGUCCUUUUUCCUAAUUUCUCCUACUUAAACUAAAUUCAUCCAAUUAAAACUUAAUCGGACACAUUACUAGACUCAUAAUUACUUCUAAUAAUUAUUUACGGACUAGGUUUACUAAGACGGAGGCCCGAUAUUGUACUUGUUCGAUGCCCGUGAAUUUUGGAUCAUUACAUCUUGUAGAUAGACACUAAUCUUAGUUGAUGUAAUUCAAUCUAUACCGAUGGAUUUGGGGGGAGAUCAACUAUAAAUAGAAAUCUUCUCCCUCAUUUGUAAUAAUCUCUUUGUAUUUCGUUCUUGAGUUAAAGAAUACUUUUGAGAGCAUUUACUCAAACACGUAGUGUGUGCUCUUUUUCUAUGGCUUUUUUCUCUUUCGAGAUUGCUUUUGUUUUGUUUUCGGUGACUUAAAGGAUUUUAGAAAAAAUUCUCACUUUUCAAGAGUUAGAUUUGACUUAGGAAGAUUUAAAUCAAAUAAAUCACCUAAAACUACACACUUUUCUAGACUAAAGUUCUAACCCCAUGACAAUAGUACAGAGGUCUCCAUAUUGCUUUUACCGUUACUUUUUAUACAAUUAUAAAGUUAUAAAUUUAUAUAAAACUAGUUUUUAAUAGUUGUGCGGUGCACAUUAAUAUACGUAUUUAUAUUUUUAUUCUUUAAUAAAUUAUUUUAUUUCAUAUACUUACUACAAGUAAUUAUUACUGAAAAUUAUUAAAAUAUAUAAUUUUAAAAAAUAAAUAAAUUUUAAAUUAUACUAUAAGUAAUUGAUAUUAGAAUUUGAUUUUACUUGUAUGUGUGCACUAAUAAUAGAUAAAUUAAUUGUGAUUUAAAUUUAUUGAAAUUAUUGAAAUAACUACUAAUUUUUAAAAUUAAUGUUAAAACAUUAAUUUCAAUUUUUAGUUUUAAUAUUAAAAGGGUAUUUUUUUAACAUUUUAUAUUUCAAAUAUUCUUUUCUAAUUUAAAAUCAAAUAACAAUAUUAUUAAUUAAAAAGUGAAUUCAAAUGGUAUCAAAUUUAAUUAAAUUAAAAAGAGAUUAUCAUAACAUAUUUUUCAAUAAAACAACAAUUGAGAUUGAAUCAUAUAAUUGUAUUAUAAAAAUGAAAUAAAUUAAACACUAAUUAGAAAACUUAAACUUUCUAAAAAUAAUUAAAAUAAAAUUAUAUUUAGAAAAAAAAUUUAAAAUCUAAAUUCCUUAAAAAGUAAAAUAAAAUCUAAUCUUAAAAAAAACUUAAAUAUUAGUAAUAUAUUUAAAUUUUCUAUAUUAAUCUUUUUCCUCAAUUGAUUUUGUUUAGACAAAUCUAAUUUAUCAAUGCCAAUAGCCUUUUUUCUUAUGGAAAUCACUAUAAUAAUUGAAUUCAACCAAAUCACAAGACAUGUUAGGUUUAUGGCUUAAAUUAUAGAAUCAAAAGUGUAAAUAAAUAUUAUAUUGUAUAUGGAUAUAAAAAAACAAAAUUGAGAAAAUAAAACCUAUAUAUCCAUUCUAAAAAUAGUUUUGAUCCCGUCACCUUUAAGCCUCGUUUAAUGCUCAUGGAGUUGCAUGAAUAAUGUUGAUGUAAUUUAAAUGUUAUUGUUUGAAAAUACAUAAUAUUGAAUGUUAUUUAUAAUUGUAACUUUUAAUUUUAUUUAGGAUAUGGAGAUAUCAUUAAUUUAAUAAUAAGUAAUUAAAAAUGAUAUCAUUUACGGAUCAAGAAAUCAUAGGAGGGAUGGCUAGAAAAUAAUUAAACUUAAAAAAAGGAAAAUGGAAAAAAGCUUAGCAGCCUUUGUUGAUAAGGAAAAUUUGCCACAAACAUGAACAACUACAUUAAUUCGUCCCACUCUAAGAUUGUAAAAUUAUAAGAGUCAAGGUUGCUCGUGACUAAAUAAAGAAACUUGCUUAGAUAAGAGAAGAUAAGAAUUGCAAUAAACAAAUUCUGAAAUUUAGAACAUUCAACAUAUAUCAUGUUGUUUCAUUACUUUGAAAGGAUAUUUUUAUAAGAAAUUAGAACAUCCCCUAAGCAUAGGUAAUAAGUACAUAUAUUAGUGGUUACAUUAAUGACCAAAUACAUGCAUCUAAUCUUAUAUACAUGCAUAAUCACAAAGUGUAUGCUUGUGUUAUGGGGCUAAAACUUUAGUCGGGCAAACUGCAUUGCCUUAUAUACAUGCAUCAUAUCAACAUAAAGAACACUUAGAUUCACACAUAUGUUGUCACGCUAAUAUCAUUAAAACAAUUUCAUUUAAAAAAACAAAUUGACAGUUUUUAAAGGAUUAAUAACCAAAUUUAAUUUAAAAUAAAAAAUAAAAACCAAAUUAAUAAAUAUAUAUAGAUUUUAAGAAAUAAAUUUAUCAUAAUACUUUUUAUGUCUACAAUUCUUUCAUGGGUAUGCUUAUAUUACUUUUUGUGUAGUGUCUUGUUUUACAUAGUUUAUAAUUGUCCCAACGAAUUUAAUUUAGAAUUUCUUUUUUUUUUGUUUAUACUGUGUGUUGUGUCAAUUUAUUUAUUUAAAAUGUUUCUUUUAUGUUCUAUAUUUUUUUUUCAUUUGUAAGCUAUUAUAAGAUUAUAUAUUUAUUUAUACAUUAAUAAUUUUUCUUAUGUAAAAUUUUGUACGUUCACAUAUUUUUAUCGUAUUUAUUUUAUUUUCCAUGACACGAUAUUUUUAAUUAUUUUUAAUACUUUUAUAUCAUGUUUUAAUUCGACAAUGUUCCUAGUUUUAUCAAAAUAAUUCAAUUUUAUUCUAAAUCCAUCUAUUUAACAAUUGAGUUAUUACAGAUGUCAUAUAUUUAUACAAUUAUGCUGUUAAAAAACUUAAUCCUAUUUCAUGAAGCAUAGGGAUCAGUAGGUACUUUCCAGUUCUUAUAAAUUAUGGACCAUAUUAUUUAACAUUAAAUUUAUUUUUAAAUAUUUUAAAAAUGGUGAAUAUAGGAUCUUUGUACUAAUAAAAAAAUAAAUAAUAUCCAAUUAUAAUAACAUUAAUAUUUAUUUUUUAUAUGAAUUUUUUUUCAUUUGCAGUUAUACUUCCAACAACAUACUUCAUUUACAAAAUAAAAAAAAUUAAAAAUAUAAUUUUAUUAAACAAUAAGUCUAACAUUGAUAGCUGGAUUUCUAAGGGUAAUUUACUAAUAAAAGCCCAUUUUUUGCAAAAAUUGCCGAAAUGGGCCCAUUAUUUAAUUAUUUAUCGGAAUGGUCCAUUUUCCGGCAAAUCGCGUCCACGUCAGCGCGAUGUUAGGGGAUGCAUCAUCAGGAAAUCGCGGCCACGUCAGCGCGAGAUGCUGACAUGGCAACAAAUCGCUUCCUCAAGGACGCGAUUUGCUGUCACGUCAGCAUCUCGCGCUGACAUGGCCGCGAUUUCCCCGCGCGUGAACAGUGCCCCAACGGUAAAAAAAAACUAUAAAUACCCCCACCCCUUUUUAUUUUUUUACAAACUAAUCCUCUCUCAUAUUUCCUCUCAAUUUCCUCUAAAUUUCCUUCUAAAAUUCUCUCAAAUCCAUAUUUAAUUUCAAUUUCCUCUCAAUUUCCUUCCAAAAUUCUCUCAAAUCCAUAUUUAAUUUCAAUUUGCUUUCAAUUUCCUUUUUAAAAAUAAUUUUAAAAUUUUUUAUAUUUUUAAAAAUCAUAAAAAUUUGUACGAUUUCAUCAAUAGCCGAAUCAUUGACUCGUCUUGAUAAGCAUCACAUAUCGGUGGAACAAAUGAAAAUGGUAAGUGUUAAAUUCAAUUUUUAAAUAUUAUUUAAGAAAUUUUUAUUUAUGAAUUUUUAGAUAAUUAUUAAUUUAUUAUUUGUUAUAAAAGUCUGUAGAUCGGGUAUUGGAAUGCAAUAUCCGAAAUAUGCAUGGUCCUCCAUCACCGUUGGUAGAGAACUACCUGCGGGAAGCGGGUUUUUGGCACGUGGCGACUGUAGGCCGGGGAUGCAAGUUGUACCCGAAACUAAUUAGUGCGUUGAUCGAGAAGCGGAGACCCGAGACGCACACAUUCCAUCUUCCAUGAGGAGAGUGCACUAUCACUCUAGAAGAUGUGAGUCUGCAAUUGGGAUUGCCGGUGGAGGGGCACCCAGUCAUCGGGUCUUGCCAAUCUAGCAAUUGGGAGGCGGUGUGCUACGAGCUUUUGGGUGCUAUUCCGGAUAAAAUGGAGGGAGGUAAAAUCGAGAUGGGCUGGUUACCUGACACAUUCCCUGAUCCGGAUGAAGAUUCAACCGAAAUUGAAAGAAUCCGAUAUGCUCGGGCAUACAUUCUUCAAUUAAUUGGAGGUUAUCUGAUGGCCGACACGUCACAGAGCCGCGUACAUCUAAGAUGGCUGCUGAAACUCGUUGAUUUUAGAGCAGCCGGUGAACUCAGUUGGGGGUCUGCUGUCUUGGCAACAUUGUAUCAGGAGAUGUGCAGGGCGAAGCGACCGAGGAGAGUGAAAAUCGGAGGUUGUCUGUCACUACUGCAGUCAUGGGCACGGUUUCGCUUUCUAUUUCUACGUCCUCGAGUGGACCACCCAUAUACAUUCCACUCAUAACGAGGUAAAUUUUAUAUUAGAUUUUACAAUUAUUAUGUAGAUUUUUAAAAAUAAAAGUAUGCUAAAAAUUUAUUUAAUUAAGUGGAACCAUUCGGUAAGUUAUUCUCGAUUACCUAGCUCUCUUGAAGAUAUACGGCUUCUAUUGGACCAACGGUCGAAAGCACAAGUGAGUAUGAAAUAAAAUAGAUAUUUCCAUACAUUCGCUAGUCGAUUAGUAUUUAGUAUUUAGUAUUAUUAUGUAUAUAACUAAUAUUUCUAUCAUGUUCAUAUAGUUUGAAUGGACACUAUACGAGGAUCCGGCAAUUCGGGCAGUAAUUCUGGAAGAGUUCUUACAAAAUCCGAACGCCUGGCAUGUGAAAGUCGUGUUGAUCAACUACGCAACCGUGGAGCCGCACCAGUCAGACAGAGUGCUACGACAGUUUGGAUGUAGACAACCGAUUCCUGUGGAUCCUGAGGAGUUUGACGAUCAACACAAAGUCGACCUUCGGUAAUUGAAUACGGAUUGACAGAGAUACUGGUCCGAGUACAUGGAAAUAUGGGAAGAUUGGCAUGAAUAUAUACCUACUCGGGAACCAAUCAUUGUUCCGGAGUUAGCGUGCGUUCCAGAAUACAUGCCAUGAUUUAGGAUCCCUGGCAAGCCGUAUUUACUGACACCAAAGGAGAGGUAGCGGUAAAUACAUGUCGAAAGGGAAAGGCGCGGGCCUCUAAAUCCAAGACGACAAGACGACGAAGGUAGCCCUUCAACGAGGCCCAGACAUUCACCCGACUCAUCAUCAGCUGCCAUGCAAUCACCAGGCCCAACGAGAGCACCGACACAGUCACCCAAUGCAGCAGUUCAACCGAUGAUACCCACGCAACCGCCUUUUCAUAUGAUGUCAGGUGCGUUUCCUAGCCCUUAUAUGUAUCCUAACCCUUAUAUCUAUCCUUUUUCGAGUCCUAUGGUAGGUUGGAGUCAAAUGCCCGGUUCAACUCUAUUUCUUAUUAUGCCGAGUGGACCGCCGAUGUAUAGGCCAGCGGUGCACGAGGGAUCACAAGAGGGACCGUCGGGGAGCCCUCUUUUUUACCAAUCCCCAGCAACGUAUGGGUUUCAGACACCGUCGCCGUUCGUGAUGCAAACACCUCCACAUACACUAUUCUUUGAAGGUGGAUCAUUGUCCCAAGUCUGACAACCAGAUGCCGUACCGGAACAACCAGAAUCCCCGCCGGAAGAACAACAAUCGCCGCCGGAAGAACAACAACCGCCGCCGGAAGCCAGAGAAAGGAGGAAUCCAGCGUGUAACCGUCGACGGCCGCCAUGUGGCACUGAAUCCCCCGGGCAUAGACAUUGAUUAAAUGUAUUUAAAAUUAUUUGUAUAAAUAUUUUGAAUAUUUUGAUAUUAUUUGAUGUAAUAAAAUAGAAGUUCAUUUGAUGUAAUAAAAUAAAAAAAAUUUUGAGUUAUUUUGAUAUUAUUUGAUGUAAUAAAAUAGAAGUUUAUUUGAUGUAAUAAAAUAGAAAUUUUUGAAUAUUUUGAAAAUUUUAAUUAUGUUAUUUGAGAAUUCUACUAACCAUUAAUAACCUAAUUAAAUUGAAAACCCUAACCUAAUUAAAUUGAAAACCCUAACCCUAAUUAAAUUGAAAACUCUAACCUAAUUAAAUUGAAAACUCUACCUUAAUUAAAUUGAAAACCCUAAACCUAAUUAAAUUGAAAACCCUAACCCUAAUUAAAUUGAAAACCCUAACCUAAUUAAAUUGAAAGCCCUAAACCUAAUUAAAUUAAAAACCCUAACUCUAAUUAAAUUGAAAACCCUAAUCUAAUUAAAUUGAAAACCCUAACCCUAAUUAAAUUGAAAACCCUAACCUAAUUAAAUUGCUCUAACCCUUAACAUUCACAUAAUGUUAGAUUUGGAAAAAUGUUUUUUCCUGGUACUAACAAUUAAUAAUUUCAUAUAAUUUGAUAAUUUUACUAACCAUUAAUACAAUUUUUUGAGUUAUUAAUUUUACAUUCACAUAAUGUUAUAUUUGGAAAAAUGUUUUGACUGGUACUAACAAUUAAUAAUUUUAUAUAAUUUAAUAAUUUUACUAACCAUUAAUACAAUUUAUCAAUUACUAAUUUUACAAAUAUAAUUUUGUUACAAUUACAUUCAACUAUUGCGAUUAGGGCAUGAUCGACUUGUAUGGCCUGGAUUCCUACACCAUCCGCACAACUUCGUUUGACUGGCUGUUUCUCAGAUAUCCAUAUUGUUACGUAUUCUAGUUGAGUAAGGUCGACCCUUUGGUUUACGACGUAAUUCUCUAUCCGGUAACAGCUUAAAAGGAGCAAGAGAUACAGGCGGCCACUUACGUUCAUCUGGGACCGGUGGGAAAAUGUGUCUCCAUACGCUGUACAUGUUUUCUAAUUUGUACACUUCGUCCACAUACCUCAUCGGAUCCAGACGGAGAUCCUGACAAGCUGUAAUGACAUGAGCGCAUGGAUAACGAAGUGCAUCAAACAUCCCACAGUCACAAGUCCUGUUUCGUAAGUGUACACGAUAUUGCCCGCCAACAACACCUUCGUGUUGUCUGUCAAACUCUGUCACACGAAACCAUAAAUUUCCUCGAUCGUGACACACUGUGUACAUGGUGUUUGCCCUCGCCUUGGCCUUGUUAAUUUCUUGAACUACCUUACUGCACCAUACAUGGCCUCCCUGCAUCUGGCCUACAUAACUUGCUGCUCGCUUUGGAAAUAGCGCCGCCAAACGAAAAUAUGUCUCUCGCACAACCGAUGUUAUCGGUAGAUGGCGCGUUCCUUUAAGAACAGAAUUUAUUCAUUCAGCCAGGUUCGACGUCAUAUGGCCAUAUCGUAGGCCUUUGUCGUAUGCUUGUGCCCACUGUUCGAAACGUAUGUUACAAAGGUAGUCCUCCCCUUCUACGUUAAUUAAACGUAAAAUUACCAACAUCUCGUGAAAACGGUCUUUAUUUAUUUCAUACCCUGCCAAUAUAAGAUCAUAGCGAAUAAUUUAUACCACUUCUACCAAUAAAACUAAUUCAAAUUGACAAACAAAAUAACACAUAUAUAGAUUAAAUACUCAUGUUGGUCACUUGUCGUCGUUCGCUCUUAGAUGUAUAUUUCCUGUAGUAGUUCGAAGCAAUGUGUCUUAGGCAAUAUCUAUGGUGUGUGCGCUGCCAUAAGCUUCUCUGUCGAUCAAAUGUAGCUAGUAUACCGGUGCCCCGAUCUGAAAUAACACAGAUAUCAUGUUGGGGGCAUACAUGCCUCCUUAACCUAGACAGAAACAAAUUCCAGUCAUCAGACGACUCCCCUAGUGUUAUUGCAAAUGCAAUUGGAAGAAUUCUCCCACCGCCAUCCUAUGCCACUGCAAGCAAUAACCGAUGAGUAUACCUACUGAACAUAAAGGUACCGUCAAUUUGUACUAACGGCUUGCAGUAUGAAAAUGCGUCUCGGCAUUGCUUAAAGGUCCAAAAUCGGCGUUUGAACACUUUUUGUCCACGUAGCAAUCGGUCAUUGUAGUUCGCAUCUUCCGUUUCAAGGUCUGUGAUGGCACCUGGGACGUAUCUCUCUAGCACCUGACACCACUGCCAUAUUUCAUUAUAUGAGGCGUCCCACCCACUAUGCAUCUUCUCCAACGCCUUUUGCUUAACUAUCCAAGCCUUGCGGUAAGAGGGCGUGUACCCCAUUUGGCAACGGAUACUGGCAAUUAACACCGGCACUGAAGUCUUGGGAUCUACUUUUACCGUGGGCAGUAUCAAGCUAGCUAACAUAGCUAAAUCCAUCUUGGGAUGAUCUUGUAAAACACCUAUUAACGGAGUACAUUAAAUAAUGCAACAUUACAUAAUAAAAGUAUUCUUCAGAUACCGUCAAUACUGUACCUGCAGCACAUGUAUGUGGACCUUUGUACUUUUUUAUCUCCCACAACCCUGUCCUUUUCCUUAACGAGACGUAGAUUUUCCAUGAACAUGUGCCGUCUUGCACCACACACUUCGCCUCGAACUUAUCAGAUUUGGAUUUAACGACGUGGUAGUUAACGCCGUUUUUGAUGCUAUGUUGUUUCAAAGCACCAAUAAAACUAUCCUUGUUGGUAAACUGAUUACCAACUUCAAAUUCACCGGAAUCUACCCUCGAACUUGUACGACCACGCAACCGAUGUGGUAGAUCUGGAAACUCUAGCGCAUCAUCUGCAGACAGAUCGACAUUAUGCAAGUGGGUUGGAGGUGAGUAUGCUCUGAAUCGUGGAUUUUCUUCUUCGUCUGAACUCCUUUCACCAUCUUCAGAUUCUGUUGAAAUAGGCUCCGGUUCAGAAAAUAAGCCAACUUCUACACCAUCCGGCCCGGGCUCUCGAGGUGGAUCCACAUCGGAGUCAUCUUCUAACCCACAAUCAUCUACAUCGUACGAGGUCCCCUCACCGGUUGACGUCGUAGGGAGUAUGUCAUCCCUUCUUCUCAGCAUUUGAUAACGUCCCCAAUUGGAUGGAGAUUGCCACCCACUAGAACUUGAUGUCGUUCCCCGGUACGUAUUUCUAGCAUCAAACGUCGAGCCACCGACGUACAUGUCUCAUCCACUGACAGAGUGUCUUGCAGGGGAUGUGCAUUCGACAUUGCCACCGAACAUGGGCUAUUCCGUAUUUUAUAACCCGCUAAUCGAGUGUUGGCCAGGGGUCGUGUAUACAUCUCGAACACCGGUCGUAGGUACAUCAGUUGGCGAUGUAAAUUGUACAUAUAACUCAAUAUAAGGUGCUCUACUAGCAAGAUGAGUCUGCACCAUUGCCUCCAAGCUACGAGCACCUUUUAUGCCGAACGAGUCAUAUGUCAUCGGAUCAACAGAAGAACAAAAUCGAUACGUGAUUGACAGAAAUUUCAUUGGUGUCGUUCUGAAAAUUUUACGCCUAAUUCUUUUACGAAGUUCUGUCAAAUCUAUGUUUUGGUUAAAAAUCAGUCGCACCGUAUUCUCCGACAAAAAAAUAACACCAUUCUCGGUGUGGCAAACCUCACUAUCGUAGUAAAUAACAGCACUAAUACGUUCACUCAUAUUUGAAACUCUAACCUUCUUAGCCUCACUAUAUUGAGAGGAAAUUGAAAUUAAAUAUGGAUUUGAGAGAAUUUUGGAAGGAAAUUUAGAGGAAAUUUAGAGGAAAUUGAGAGGAAAUAUGAAAGAGGAUUAGUUUGUGAAAAAAUAAAAAGGGGUGUGGGGGUAUUUAUAGUUUUUUUGACCGUUGGGGGGCAACGGUCAAAUUUUUGACCGUUGGGGCACUGUUCACGCGCGGGGAAAUCGCGGCCACGUCAACGCGAGAUGCUGACGUGGCAGCAAAUCGCGUCCUUGAGGAAGCGAUUUGUUUCCAUGUCAACAUCUCGCGCUGAUGUGGCCACGAUUUCCUGACGCGUCCCCUGACAUCGCGCUGACGUGGACGCGAUUUGCCGGAAAAUGGACCAUUCCGAUAAAUAAUUAAAUAAUGGGCCCAUUUCAAUAAUUUUUGUAAAAAAUGGGCUUUUUUGUGUAAAUUGUCUGAUUUCUAAAGCUGCAGUUUUUGACAUUGAAUGAAACUCAAACAGAGAAAAAUACAUCUUACAGGAAAAGGAAAGAAAAAAUAGAUGAUGUACAACUAAGGAAAGAAACUGACAGAGGGUGGCCCUACAUCAUGAUAAGGAUGAUAGGCACCCAAACCGUAAGCUUUACUACAAAACGCCAAAAAUACAGGGAGUAAAAUCAAAACUCUUGACAAAAGGGAAUGGAAUUGGCAAUGGAAACACAAAACAGAAAGUAAAGUCAAAACUCUUGACAAAAGGGAUGAUGGAAUUGGCGAUGGAAACAUAAAAUAGAACAGCAACACCUUAAGUCCCCUGCAUCAUUCUCUCAACAUAAACCAAAGGAUUAAGUCUCCAUUAGAAUAAGUUUUAUUUGUUUAUGCUCGUUUAUUUAUUUUGAUAAAUCAACAUAAACAACAACCCAACUGUUCAUUUACAACCUUAGCUUUAAGCAAUUAAACGAUAAGUCGACUUUACAAGUAAACGAUUAGCCCUAGGCAACGAAAGGCCGAACUUCUCGGUCAUGUCGAGUUCAUUAGGCAACAUCCCACCAGGCAACUCCCAAUCAAAGCAAUGGGCUAAUUGAGCUAAAAUAAUACGCAUGUUGACUAGAGCUAACUGCAUUCCGGGACAUCCUCUACGACCGGUUCCGAACGGAAUGAGUUCAAAAUCAUGCCCUCGAAGGUCUAUCUUCCUAUCCUUGAAUCUUUCUGGAAAGAACUCUUCAGCAUUGCUCGACCAUAUCUUGGGGUUUUGCCCCAUGGACCAAGUGUUCACCAAAAGCCGCGACUUCUUAGGUAUGAAAUACCCAUUAACGGUGACAUCUUCGGUCGACUCGUGCGGGAUUAACAACGGCGCCACAGGAUGCAACCUGAAACUCUCUUUGAUGACCAUAUCCAAAUAGGCAAGUUUCGGUAGGUCCGACUCUUCUACCAUUCUAUUCCUUCCGACAACAAUUUCUAGCUCUUUCUGGAGAGCAACCAUGACUCGAGGAUGCUUUAGAAGUUCUGUAAAUGUCCACUCAAUGGUCGUGGAUGUAGUGUCGAAGGAAGCUGCCACCAUGUCCACCAUUAUAGCCUUGAUGUUUUCUCUACCAAAGAUGUAUGGUUGAUCUUCAUCGUUAGGGUUUAUGGGUGUAUCCAACAUCGAAACCAUCAGUUGAAAGAAACUUCUAUAAGGUUUUUGGUCAUCCAUGUUAAUCCCUUGUUGGUAUUCAUCUAUCAUUUUGUCAAAAAAUUCGUGAAGGCCACUGCUCGCCUUCUUAAGCCUUCUUGUAUAUCCCUGCAGCGUAAAGAUAGAUAUGAUAGAAUCAAUUUUAUAUUGGUUGUAUUCUUCAUUAUAAUUAUUCUUUGUGAAAAAAUCAACUAGUCAUUCAAUCAAAUAUUAAGACUUCCGAGUUCCACUCUGCAUCUAGUAAGAUUACCAUAACACAAUUUAUUAUGCUUUAAAAUUGGUAUUAUUAUUAGUACAAAAAAAUAAAUAAAUUAUGAAAAAGAAAAAUAGUACAUAAAAAACAGGAUAUAAGGAGAAAAAAAAAACGUUACCUGAAGAUCAAGUGGAGCAAGGAAAGGCACAUAAUCCGAGAGAUUGAAAACCCCAGAUAAGUGCAGGGCCUCAUCAACCAGCGGCUUAAAAUCGAUUUUAUCAUCCAUGGACCGCCCGAAUAACACUUUCGACAUCAUUUCUUCAAGAACCUUAGCCACCGCCAGGCUAAGGUUUAUUGUUUCACCCACCGCCGCUACCUUCCUCACUGAUUCAACCAAUAACCCCACAUCCGCCUUCCUUAUCGGGGCAAAACAUUCAACUUCGGAAGCACUGAGGAAAUGCAAAAUACACCAUUUCCGUACAGUUCACCAGUAAGAACCGUACUGGGUAAAAGCCAAGGCCUUGCCACCAUAUGUGAAGUAUUUCGCGGAUUGGACUUUAGGCCUGGAAGCAAAAACGACGUCAUGGACCUUGAGGAACAGUUCAGCGGCUUCGGGUGAUGAUACCACGAUGGUUGGUACUUUGCCUAGCAUUAUCGACAUGAUGGGUCCAUAUUUUUUGGCGAGAUAGUGAAGACUUUGGUGUGGGAGGUUCCCUAGCAUGUGGAUGUUACCUAUGAUGGGAAGAGGGGCAGGACCGGGUGGAAGUUUCCGGCCAUUUUUGUUGCGGUUUGGUGAGCUGAAGAAGUAGAUAAAGGAACAGAGAGUUCCAAGGAGGACGAAGAGUAAGGUUAAUGUUGAAGAAGACAUUUGGGAGGGAAGCCAAUCACAAUAGCUGAUAGCCAUUGGGGAUUGAUUGAUUGAGUACUUGUAGAUGGAAGCAACCGAUGGCAGCUGCAAGUCGGGAGAAUUCGCCAAAUAUGUCGAUUUUAACAAAAACUACGGAGUUCGACCCCCCCUUUUUUCUUUUUUCUUUUUUAAUGUAAGGAAAUAAGUAUAGGUAAAAGCUUUGCGGGCUUAAUUUGCCAGUUGAAUUACUUACCAUGGUAAGAAAAUAUUAUUAUAAUUUUUAUUUUAAUGAAUAUUAAUUUUAAGUUGUUAAUGUUAUUAUAUUUUUUUAUUUUUUUAUGUUUAUAUAAUCAAGAUGAAGAUUAAAUUAUUGAAAUUUAUAUACACACAAUUUAAGUGCAAGAGCACCAUGUGUUAUUGAACAAUACUUGAAAGAGGCGAGUUUCUUACACGUGUCUCAUAUGCUCAACGAGACUAAAUUGGAGUCUGCACUUAUCAGUGCUUUGCUGGAGAGAUGAAGAUCCAAAACACAUACAUUUCAUCUAUCAUGUAGUGAGUGUACGAUUACAUUUAAGGAUGUAUCAUUACAACUCGAUCUGCCAAUUGAUGAGGCAGUCAUUACAGGAGUGGUGCACAUUGGGGAUUGGAGACCAAUUUGCCACCAGUUAUUAGGCAAGGUGUCAGACAAGUUUAGUGGUAAUCAAAUAUAUAUGAAAUGGUUAGAAGAUAAUUUCUCGCAUCACAAAACUCUUCUAGUGCAGUUGAAAGACAACAAUUAACUCGGGCAUUUAUACCUUCUAAUGCCAUAUAAAUCUCAAAAUUUGGUACAUUUAAGGGAACUCCUAUAACUAUUCGACCUAAAAGAAACUAGGCAACUCAACUGGGGAUCAAUUGUCUUGGCUACAUUGUAUCGAAAUUUGUGUCGGACAAUAGAAGCACAAAAAUUAAAAUUGGUGGUUGUAUAUUCCUUCAAUCAUGGGUAUAGUAUCGCUUACCAUUUUUACAUCCCGAGAAAACUCCCAUUAUCAAUUAUUACUCGUAAUAAGGUAACAUUCAUUUAAUAAUAUAGUUAUCAUAUUAUCUUUGUCAAAACCAUUUUUUUUAACAAAAAUUAAUUGUCGACUUAAAAACGACAAUUGGAGUCCCCACCAAUUUUUUAUUAAGGUGUGAUCGUUUCACCUUGAAAACGAUUUAAGGUCUACGAAUUUUGAGAAAAUAGGUUCGGGAAUUUGUUACGCACGAGGAAGGGUUAGCACCCUCGUAACGCCCAAAAUAGGUACCGAAUUGAUUGUUUAAUGUCUUGGUGUCGAAAAUUUGAAAAGAUUUUAAAAGAAAACUUUUUAACUUGAAUGAAUUAAAAUAAUAAAACAUUCUUAUUUUAAAGAAAUUAAUCAUCACACCCAGUGAGUUAGGGCACAACAUUUUAAUUUUCAAAAUUAAGCUUGUCUUUUGAUUUAAAACUCAUGCAUUUAAAUUUCAAAAGGAUAUUCGAUUAUUUGGGUUAAAAGAAAAAAAUUGAAACCCAGUAAGUUAGGGCACGAUCACUCGAAUUUCCCAAAUACAGAAUAUUGCCUUUAUUAUUUUUAGAGAAAUCCUCAUCUCGAGAAAACAAUAUGUCAUAUCCAAUGCGUUAGGACACAACGUAUUGAUUUCCCGAUAAUGAGCUUUUAUGUUUUUUUUUAUUAAAGAGCACUCCUGAUUAUUUAGAUUCAACGAAGAAAAUUGGAACCCAAUACAUUAGGGCUCAAUCCUCUCGAAAAUCCCAAAUAUCGAAUAUUGCCUUAUUUUGAAAGCCUUUGAACAAAAAUAGUUUUAAUGCCUUGAUAAAACCAAAUAUAUUUUCUUUUUAAAAAAAUGAUAAAAUGUUAAUAUACACCAUAAAACAAAUACUUUAAUAUGAAUUAUAUAUGUAUAUGUAUUUACAAAAUAUGUACAUAUAUAUAAGUACAAUAUAUAAGUAAAUUUGAAAAUAUGUAUAUGCAUAUAUUAAAACACACACAUAUAUAUAAGUAUACAUAUAAAAAAGAAAAGGAAUGAAAUAUAUAUAUAAAAAAAUUAUAAUAAUUUCUAAAAAAUAUGUAUAUAUAUAUUAUAAAAAAUACAUGUAUAUGUGCAUGGAUUAUAAAAUAAGGAAAAUGUAUAUGUAUUAUAAAAUAUAAAUGUAUAUAUAUUACAUAUAAAGUAUAUACGUGUAUUAUAAAAAGUAUGUACGAAUGCAAUGGUUAUAAUAAUAAAUACCAUAGUAAUCAUAUUAUACAAUAAUAAGAGUAAUAAUAAAAAUAACUAAAUAAUGAACAAGGGACUGAAUCGAAACUAAACAAAAUUUUAGGGUCGAAAUUAAAAAAUAAAAAAAUGGAAAAGGACUAGAUCAUAUUGCGCAUGGAAUGAGGAGGACCAAAUAGGGAAAUAUUCCCACGCCGGUCAAAUGGCACUGUUCCAGUGGGGCGCAUGUAUAUGGUCUAUGGACCAAAUUAAAACAGAAGGAAAAAAGGUGGCCAAAAUUUAAAAAAAAACAUGAAAUAAAUGCAUUAUAGUCGAAUAAAAAAAUAGGGGACUAAUCGUGCAAAUUCCCCUUCCAUACUAAAACGAGCGGAUCUAGCGGGUCGAGUCGUCGGGUUUUGGCCUAUACGGCGUCGUUUUGGGCCCACUGAAACAGGCCUAAACGACACCGUUUUGCAGUCAUUAUAAAACCAAAAUUUCUUUAAAAAACUCAUUUUUCUUUCCCGUUUUGACACAAAAUAGCAGAGAAACCCUCUACUAGGGUUUCGUUUUCUAUGCCGCCGCCGAUCAAGGCCUUCCCACGGUCUCAGUCGCCGACCUAGUCUCCGAUCGCGACGGAGAAAGGAACAGAACGCGACAAUACCGGGUAAGUCUCUCUCCUCCCUCUUUUUUAAAAGAAAAAAAAAAGACAAAGAGGAAAAAACCUCGAAAGAAAAUCGAAAAGAACGCAAAAAAAGAAAAAGAAAAAGAAAAUAAAUGAGACGAUUAACAAAGACGCAGUUCACCUUUAUUUUUUGUUAUAACUUUCCUUUAUUUUCCUUAUCUGUUUGAGAAUCUUUCUUUUUUUUAAUGCAAAAACAAAUCGGCCUUUUUAUAGCCCGGGGAAAAAAAAUACAAUUCCUUUAAUUGACACUAUUUUCUUUUUGUUUGACUCUUUUAGUCCGUUUUUACAGGUGAUCGUGGGGGAUACGGCGCACAUGGAGGAGGCCGGUUCCGAAUCUUGCGACGGCUGGGGUCUGCUGGAGGCCGUAUGCUGUUAGGGUUUCCCGACCCUUUCUCUGCCAUUGGUUUCGGGCUUGGGUUAGUUGGGUUUUAGGUUUAGGGUUAUUGGGCUUGUAAAAAAACAGGACUGCCUAUUUUUGUUUUGUAUGGGCCCGAGCCAAUUGGGCCUGUUACAAUCUUUUUUUCAUUAUUAUAUUUUUGGAAUAACAUAUUAUUUGAACAGAUGGAAAAAUGUGGGUAUACCAAACAAGCUUGAAGAUAUUUGGUUAUUGUUAAAUCAAUGGUUAAAAGUUGAGGUCAGUUUUUGAAUUUUUUUUAAUUACAUAAUAAUUAUGUAAGGAUUUGAAAUUUAAUAUUAGGUAUGUAUGAAAUUUAGAAUUUCAUAUUAUAAUUUAGAUGGAUGUUAUACUCUGAUCCGAGAAUUGAAGAAUGCAUCCCGUCUAAAUUUUUUACGAAUCGUAAUAUCUUGCAUGUCAAAGUGUCAUUAAUAGUUUUUGCAUUGUCUAUUUUUAAUAAAUAUAUUUGAAGUAAUUUUUUUAAUAUAUUCUAUUUGAACUUUUUUAUAUUUAAAAAAAUAUAUACAUACUUUUCAUAUAUUUUUUUAAGAAUUAGGACCAAAUUAAUAGAAUAUAUAAACAUUGAUGGUUUAAUUUGUUACUAUAUCAAUCAAAAUUAUGUACAAUUGAUGGAAAAUAUUAUUUUCCGUGAUUAAUUGUCCUUAGUUGCUCACUUUGAAAAUGAACAAUGAUUAAAUAGCUUUGUUGUUUUCAGUAGGACCAAUUUGCUUAAUAUCAAAAUUGAGAGAAGCUAAAAAGGAAAUUUUACCUAAAUCUGCUCGUCUAUAUGGGAAGGCUUUCCUUCUUUUAGCUACAAUUGUAUUUAUUAAUUCAUAGAUUUGUCGGGAUAACAAAAAAAUGAUAAACAAUUAUAAUGAGACAAUGGCCAUUACUUGCACAGACCACCGGAUCAAUCACAAAUGCCGGCACCUAAAAUCAUUUAGUUAUUUUGGAUAAAUCUAACGUGAUGUAAAGUAUAUAUAUUUAUAAAAACUAUAUGAAUUUAUUUACAUUGAUAACAUAAACAAGAACCCAAAUGUUCAUUUACAACCUUAACUUUAAGCAAUUAAACGAUAAGUAGGUUUUGCUUAUUAGCCCUCGGUAUUGAAAGGCCGGACUUCUCAGUCAUGUCGAGUUUAUUAGGCAACAUUCUAUUAGGCAACUCCUAAUCAAAACAAUGGACUAAUUAAGCUAAAAUUAGACGGAUGCUGGUUAGGCCUAAUUGCAUUCCAGGGCAUGCUCUGUGACCAGUUCCGAAAUCAUGCCCUCGAAGGUCUAUCUUGCUAUCCUUGAAUCUUUCUGGAAAGAACUCUUUGACAUUGCCCGACCAUAGCUUGGGGUUUCGCCCCAUGGACCAAGUGUUCACCAAAAGCCGUGACUUCUUAGGUAUAUCCAUUAACGGUGACAUCUUCGGUCGACUCGUGCGGGACUAACAAC